AUCCAGCAGAGAAACAAUAUCUUUGAGAGUUACUUUUCAGUAGAAAGUCUUUCACCUCCUUUGCUUUUGUGUGAGAAAAAUGGCUUACUCCAAGACUUUCCUUCUCAUUGGCCUUCUCUUUGCUGUUGUUCUCAUCCUGUCCUCUGAGGUUUCAGCUCGGGAUCUAGCUGAAACAUCCCAAACUCGUAAGUUAAAUUUCUUUUAGUAGAUGUAAAUUAAUGGCAUGUUAUGUGUUCAUAUAGAGAUGCUUUAUUAACUUAUUUAAAGUAAUAAAUUUCGUUUUCUUAAAUUAUGGCAGAAGUGAGCGUGGAGGAUGCGAAGUACGGUGGGUAUGGACACGGGUACGGCCACGGAAAAGGACAUGGGUACCAAAAAGGACAUGGGCAUGGGCAUGGGAAACCUGGUCAUGGGGGACCUGGCCAUCCACCUGGUCAUGGUGGUGCUGGUGAGGAUGUGGAAGAGGGGACGCAGAAUUAGUGUAAUCAAUCCUUAAUUAUGUGGGCUACGCAUGAUUAGGGUGUGUUUUAUGUAAGUUUAUGAAAGCGUGUGUAUCAAUAAGGCAUGUGGGCUUAGGGUUACUCUCUAAGACCAGCAUGGCUGUGUUGUAGCUUCUAUGCUUAAUAUAAUGCUUUUUCAUGUGCUGUGCUAAAAUGGAGUAUGAUGAAUGCCGUCGGGUGAUCUACCCUUUUUUUUUUUCUUGGGAUUAUAUUAUUUACUUCGGAGUAAUUUUGUUGAGAUAUGAUUUUGUGUAAAUAUACUUACCAUCAUUGGUUUCAAAUUAUAUUAGUUUAUACCCUCACCAACAUACCCACCUCAAAUCUUUACCUAAAAUUGAUCUAAAAACCUAAAAUUUAUCUAAAAAGUAAAUUGUGAACAUGCGAAAUUUAAAACCAGCAACAACUUAGGCUAUGUUUGGUUUUCGAAAAAUUUGAGGAAAAUGUAAAGGAAAGAAAAUAGAGAGGAAAAGUAAAAGGAAAGAAAAGGAAAAUAAAAAAUAGAGUUAAAGAUAAUAAAUCAUUUUUAUUUGUUACUUUAAAUUUAUAUUAUUUAUUUUAAUUUAUCAAUAUAAAAAUUAAAUAAUUUUAAAAUAUAUAAGUUUUUAAUUAAUUUUAAUUAUAUUUAAUUUUCUUUGUAAUAUUUUAUAGGAUAAUUAAAUAUGAGAAAAUCAUUUUUUAUCAUUUUUUUUUUCUUUUGUACUUUUCGGGAACCAAACAUAACUUUAGUGUAUUUACACUCAACCUUAAAAGUAUAAAUGAGAUUAAUUUUUAUUUGGAAUUAUUGGAAUUUGGAUUUGAAAAGAAAGAAAUUUUUUUUUUGAAUUGAGAAAAAAAUGAAGGUAAAAAGUAUAAUAACCAAUUAUAUAGUUAUAAAAAGAAUUUGCAUGGUAAAGCCUUUUAUUGAGAGGUCUUAGUUUUCUUUGAGAUAUUUUAAGUUGAAGAUUAUUGCAGUCAAUCCUAUUUUGUGGGUUAUUUAUAUAAAUUCAUUGAAAUUGUAGCUCGGGAGUAAAUGAAAUACAAAUAGGAUAUGCAUUCUCAGUCCUCUAUUUAAGAAACCAAAUGUAGUAUAAAAAAAAAUACUUAUGCAAUUUAAUAUAACAAUAAUACUUCCUAUCCAACACUUAGUCCAAGAGUUACUUAUAUUCCCAUUUUUAUAAGUAUACCAAAUAUAAUUAUUGUUGGUGCACAAUGAAUGAUUACUCGAUUUGGGUAGUUUUUUCCACUGGAUUGGAUGAUUUUGUAAAAAACGAGUCGUUGGAUGGUUGUUUUGGGCAUCCUUCUUCAAUGGUUAAGUUAGUUUGAGAAUUUUUAAGGCAAAUAUUUUGUAUGGGUUUAGAGUGUAUAUCUUUAUUUAUUUUUAACGUUCGAUGUUCUUUUAUAAUAGAGGCAUCUUAUAAUGGUGUUUAUAUUUUAUGAUUAUUAUUUAUUGUAGUUUUAGUGCAUGUUAGAGCAUAACGAUUUAGUCAUUGGAAAUGAUUGAUUAUUUAUAUUAUGAAAUAAUUACCUUUGAAAUGACACAUAAUGAUUGUAUUUAUAUUUUUACCAUUGGAAAAAUAAUUAUUGACUCUAAUUUGGUUCUAUGUUAGUCGGGCGAUACAAGUUGUAUCUAAAUCAUUAAAUGAUGAGAUUUUGAUUAUUGAAUGUGAAUAGAAAUGGAGGUGAUAAAAAUUUAAAGGCAUAAAUAAAUGGAAUUAAUGUAUAUAAAAAAAAAAGAUUUGAAAAUGGUUUAAGUGUUGGCAUGCGAGGGUGUCCUUUGUUAUCUAAGAUCGAUUUGAAGAGAAUUGAGAGGUCGGUGGACAUGAGGACAGAUAUGAGAAUGACGUGAGAUGGGACGUAAUCAUUCAAGAGAUAUCAUGUGAGUAGAAAUUAGAAUGUAGUGAACUUUGCCCAUGCAUAUGGAGUUGAAUUUUAAGCUCAAAUCCAACACCUGUCACCCAUGUGGCACUCUCAAUUGACAUAAUAGUGUUGUGUUUUGGACUUGGUGACGUGUGGAGGGACGUACGUAUACAUGAAUGGGCUGUUUCAGGGACUUUUCUCAAUAGUAUAGUAAUUUAAAAAAGUUAUGCUUAAAUUAUUAUAGUAGAAGAAGUUAUUACAAAUAUAUGGUAGUUUUUGCCACAUAGGAGAAAGGAGAGAGGAGAUAGGAGAGAGGGUGAACGGAUAAUUUUUUUUAAAAAAGGGAACUCGUCUCUUGAAGAGACGAGUUCCAUGAAAAAAAAAUAUAUAUUUUUUAAAAAAAAUUCCUAUUUACUCAAGGGAACUCGUCUCUUGACGAGUUCCAUGAAAAAAGACAAGGGAAAGACGAGUUCCUAGGGAAAAAAAAAUAUUUUUUUUAAAAUAUAUUUUUUAUUUAAAAAAAAUCCUAAAUUAAAUUAUAAAAAAAAUUUCCUAAAGGGAACUCGUCUCUUCAAGAGACAAGUUCCCAUGUAAAAAAAUUUUUUUUUUUUUUAAAAUAUAUAUAUUUAAAAAAAAAAAAUUUCCUUUUUUUUUAAUUUGGGAUUUUUUUAAAAUAAAAAAUAUAUUUAAAAAAAAAAUAUUUUUUUCCCAUGGGAACUCGUCUCUUCAAGAGACGAGUUCCCUUUAGCAAUUUUGAGAAAUUGUUUUUUUUUUUUUAAUAUAUAUAUAUUUAAAAAAAAUAUUUUUUUUACAUGGGAACUCGUCUCUUGAAGAGACGAGUUCCCUUUGGAAUUGUUUUUUUUUUUUUUUUUUAUUUGGGAUUUUUUUUUAAAAAAAAUAUUUUUUUUACAUGGGAACUCGUCUCUUGAAGAGACGAGUUCCCUUUGGAAUUGUUUUUUUUUUUUUUUUUUUUAUUUGGGAUUUUUUUUUUUUAAAAAAUAUUUUUUUCCUAUGGGAACUCGUCUCUUGAAGAGACGAGUUCCCUUUAGGANNNNNNNNNNNNNNNNNNNNNNNNNNNNNNNNNNNNNNNNNNNNNNNNNNNNNNNNNNNNNNNNNNNNNNNNNNNNNNNNNNNNNNNNNNNUUUUAUUUAUUUAAAAAUAUAUAUUUUUUUUUACAAGGGAACUUGUCUCUUCAAGAGACGAGUUCCCUUUAGCAAUUUUGAGAAAUUGUUUUUUUUUUUUUUUUAAUAUAUAUAUAUUUAAAAAAAAAUAUUUUUUUUACAUGAAGAGACGAGUUCCCUUUGGAAUUGUUUUUUUUUUUUUAUUUUUUUAUUUUUUUAUUUGGGAUUUUUUUUAAAUAAAAAAUAUAUUUUAAAAAAAAAUAUUUUUUUUCCCAUGGGAACUCGUCUCUUGAGUUUCCUUUAGGAAUUUUUUUUUUUUAAAAUAUAUAUAUAUUUUUAAAAAAAAUAUUAUUUUUACAUGGGAACUCCCUUUAGGAAUUUUGAGGAAUUGUUUUUUUUUUUUUUUAAUAUAUAUAUUUUAAAAAAAAAAUAUUUUUUUUUACAUGGGAACUCGUCUCUUGAAGAGACGAGUUCCCUUUGGAAUUGUUUUUAUUUUUUUAUUUUUUUUAUUUUUAUUUUUAUUUUUAAUUUGGGAUUUUUUUAAAUAAAAAAUAUAUUUAAAAAAAAAAAAUUUCCCAAGGGAACUCAGGAAAUUUUUAUUUUUUUUAAAUAUAUAUAUUUUUAAAAAAAAUAUUUUUUUUUUACAUGGGAACUCAUCUCUUCAAGAGACGAGUUCCUUUGAGGAAUUGUUUUUUUUUUUUUUUUUUAAUAUAUACAUUUAAAAAAAAAAAUAUUUUUUUUUUACAUGGGAACUCGUCUCUUCAAGAGACGAGUUCCCUUUGGAAUUGUUUUUUUUUUUUUUUUUAAUUUUUUAAUUUGGGAUUUUUUAAAUAAAAAAUAUAUUUUAAAGAAGAGACGAGUUCCUUUAGGAUUUUUUUUAAAUAAAAAAUAUAUUUAAAAAUUUUUUUUUUUCCCAUGGGAACUCGUCUCUUGAGUUCCCUUAGGAAAUUUUUUUUUUUAAAUAUAUAUAUUUAAAAAAAAAAAAUAUUUUUAAAAAAAAAAAAUUUUUUUUUACAUGGGAACUCGUCUCUUCAAGAGACGAGUUCCCUUUAGGAAUUUUGAGGAAUUGUUUUUUUUUUUUUUAAUAUAUAUAUUUUAAUUAGGAAUUUUUUUUUUAAAUAUAUAUAUUUUUUUAAAAAAAAUAUUUUUUUUUACAUGGGAACUCGUCUCUUGAAGAGACGAGUUCCCUUUGGAAUUGUUUUUUUUUUAUUUUUUUUUUAUUUUUUAUUUUUUUAUUUGGGAUUUUUUUAAAUAAAAAAUAUAUUUAAAAAAAAAAAUAUUUUUUUUCCCAAAGGGAACUCGUCUCUUCAAGAGACGAGUUCCCUUUGGAAUUGUUUUUUUUUUUUUUUUAUUUUUUAUUUUUUAUUUUUUAUUUGGGAUUUUUUUAAAUAAAAAAUAUAUUUAAAAAAAAAAAUAUUUUUUUCCCAAAGGGAACUCGUCUCUUCAAGAGACGAGUUCCCUUUGGAAUUGUUUUUUUUUUUUUUUUUUUUUAAAUUUGGGAUUUUUUUAAAUAAAAAAUAUAUUUUAAAAAAAAAAUAUUUUUUUUCCCAUGGGAACUCGUCUGAAGUAGGAAUUUUUUUUUAAAUAUAUAUAUUUUAAAAAAAAAUAUUUUUUUUUACAUGGGAACUCGUCUUUUUUUUUUUUUUUUUUUUUAAUUUAGGAUUUUUUUUAAAUAAAAAAUAUAUUUUAAAAAAAAUAUAUUUUUUUUCCCAUGGGAACUCAUCUCUUGAAGAGACGAGUUCCCUUUAGGAAUUUUUUUUUUAUGGGAUUAUUUUUAAAUAAAAAAUAUAUUUAAAAAAAAUAUAUAUUUUUUUUUCCCAGGGGAACUCGUCUCUUCAAGAGACGAGUUCCCUUUAGUUCCAAAUUGUUUUUUUUUUUUUUUUUAAUUUGGGAAUUUUUUAAAAAUAAAAAUAUUUUUUUAAAUGGAAACCCGCCCCUUGGAGAAAAGAGUUUCCUUGAAAAAUGGUUUUUUUUUUUUUUUUUAAUUUGAAAAUUUUUUAACAAUAAAUUAUAUAAUUUUUUCCAGGGAACCCCCCUCCUGAAAAGACAAGCUCCCCAAAGAAAAGGGGAAUUUUCUUAAAAAANNNNNNNNNNNNNNNNNNNNNNNNNNNNNNNNNNNNNNNNNNNNNNNNNNNNNNNNNNNNNNNNNNNNNNNNNNNNNNNNNNNNNNNNNNNNNNNNNNNNUUUUUUUCCCAUGGGGAACUCAUCUCUUGAAGAGACGAGUUCCCUUUAGGAAUUUUUUUUUUAUGGGAUUAUUUUUAAAUAAAAAAUAUAUUUAAAAAAAAUAUAUAUUUUUUUUCCCAUGGGAACUCGUCUCUUCAAGAGACGAGUUCCCUUUAGUUCCAAAUUGUUUUUUUUUUUUUUUUUAAUUUGUGAAUUUUUUAAAAAUAUAUAUAUUUUUUUUAAUGGGAACUCGUCUCUUGAAGAGACGAGUUUCCUUGAAGAAUUGUCUUUUUUUUUUUUUUUAAUUUGAGAAUUUUUUUACAAAUAUAUAUAUAUAUUUUUUCAUGGAACUCGUCUCCUGAAGAGACGAGUUCCCUUAAGUAAAUGGGAAAUUUUCUUAAAAAAAUAUAUAUAUUUUUUUUCAUGGAACUCGUCUCUUCAAGAGACGAGUUCCCUUUUUAAAAAAAAUUUAUCGAUUCACCCUUUCUCCUAUCUCCUCUCUCCUCUCUCUCACCUUCUCUCCUAUCUCCUUUCUCCUCUCUCCUAUGUGGCAAAAACUACCAUAUAUUUGUAAUAACUUCUUCUACUACAAUAAUUUAAGCAUAACUUUUUUAAAUUACUAUAUUAUUGAGAAAAGUCCCUGUUUCCAGUUUCCAACUAUGUCAUUAAAGGAAGGUUCAUGAUUUUUUUGGAACUUUAAAAUGAUAUGACAAACACAGCGUAGCAUUUUUCUUAAAAGGAAAUCCAUAUAAAACAAUUUAUAUUUCUAAUUACCAAAUUCUUCGUACCAAUAUUUAGAGUGUUUGAUAAUAAUUAUAAAAAAUAUUUAUACUUUUUUUAACACCAAAAUUUUUUUAUCUUUCACAUAUAAAAAAGUUAAAAAUACUUUCUAAAACUUUAAUACAUUCAUUUUCAUUUGAAGUGGGUAAUCGAGGCAAUGUUUGUCUUUUUCUUUUUGAAUUGUUGCUAUCUUUGAGUUAAUCCUUUGGAGCCUCAUUCUACAGUAUGAAGAGAAGAACAAGUAAAAGUGGUCCUCCAUCAGUAAGUUAUUAACAAUUACCCAAUGGCAAGGUGGGAAAUUUGAUAGGAUAAAAAAAAAAAUCCUUAAAUGGACAUUUCAUUCAUUUGAAUAACAUGGAAAUGAAAUCCCAUGAGUGAAAUUUUAAUUCUUCCUAAUUAGGGGUAUUUUAAUUCCAUAGUAUAACUUAUUUUUAAAAUUACUUUUCAAAAAUUAAAAAAUUAAAGACCUUUUUAGAUAAGUUAUUUUUAAAAUUAAUUUUUAUUUUGAUUUUGUAAAACAUACAAAUUUUAGAUUCAAUUUAUAUAAUAUAAAUUAAGGGUGCUUUUGACAAUGACUCUAGGAAGCCUUUUUUUUUUAAUCCUAAAAUGUGUUUUUGAAAAAAAAAUAAUUAGGUGUUUGACAAAUUUUAGGAAACACUUUUAAAAAUUUGAAGAGUGUGUUUGACAUUGAUUUUAUAAAAUAAUUUUUUUUUUUACAUUUUUAAUACUUGAAAAAUAAAAUUUUUAUAGUGUUAGAAAAAUUAAAAGUGCCUCUUAGAAUCACUACCAAAUGGGGUCGAAAAAUUACUUAUAAUGUUUUUUUAGACAAACACUUGAUAGAUGAUUAUCCUAAAAACACUUUUAAAGAAAAUACUUUCACUAAAAACAUUUCUGAGUAGUAACAUUAAUUGAUUUAUUUUGUUAAAAAUAAAUAAUAAUAAUUUCCAAUACUAUUUAUAUGAUUUUAUAAAUAUUAUAAAAAUAUGGAUAUUAACAUAUUAUAAAAGCAUAAUUAAUUUAUUUUGUUAAAAAUAAAGAAUAAUUAUUCAAAAUUAAUAAUUGCUAAUACUAUUCUAUUUUAAAUAAAUAUAAAAACAAACAAAAUUUAAAAUUUUAAGUUAUAAAUGAGCUAAAAUUUUCAAUAUGUAUGCAUUUAUUACUUAAUUAUGAAGAUGACAUUGUGAAUUAUUUUAUUUGAUCUAUAAUUAAUUAAUUAAUUAUUUAAAUUUUGAAUUAUUCUUAAAAAAUUAUAUAUAUGUUUUAAAUUCUUUAAUAAAUCUUAUCAUUUUUAAAAGCAAAGUAAAAUAAAGAAUUGUUCAAUACAAAGUCUUGUUUAAUUUGAAAUUCAUUGUUAGGAAAGAAAAAAAAAUUCAGAAGAACAGUUCUCUAUUUUACUUUGCUUUUAAAAAUUGUGUUUAAAGAACAACAACCAUAUAGUGAUAUAAAUUUUUAAAAACAAUUUUGUUUUUAAAUCACACGACCAAAUAGGAUUUUAUUACCGGGACCCCAGAUCUUUCUGUUCUCAUACCUUGGAUCGUAUAGGUGCAUGUAAACUACUCUAUGCCUUUAGAUCUUAUGUAAUGGAAGCAAAAAAUAAAAUUUUAAUAUUCUAAGAUAUAAAGAAAAGUCAUUAGAAAACUUUACCUUUAAUUUAAACGUUUUCAAAUCAAUUUCGCUCAAUGAAGUUGAAGCUUGAACAGUUCGAAGGUCUCGUACACCCAAGAUUUUCCUCUCAAUGACUCGAAUUACGAUCUUAACACUCCAAAGUGUAGGCUUUGGGAGGGAGGAAUCCUAGGCUCUUUAUCUUUAGAGGUAGAAGACGACUAUCUUUCAAAGUGAUGAAAACCCUAACUCCUAGGGGGUAUUUAUAGAGUUUCCUUAUUAGGCUUAAGUGACUUGAGCCUACCAAGGCUUAAGUGACUUGAGCCUACCAAAGCUUAAGUCAUUUAAUUUAGUCUAAAAUGGGUCCUAAUUAAUUAAUUAACUAUAUAUGUCUAUUUAAUUAAUUAAUUCGCACAUUUUAAAGAACUUGUUUGCUAUUCCCUAUGCAACCUUGCAUAAUUAUCAAAAUGCUCUUAUGCACAAAAGUGAAUUGAGAGUCAAUCCAAACCUCAUAAACCGUACCACCAUGAUAUAUGAGCUCAGAGUGGGGAUUAUUGGGACCAAUAGGAGUAUUGAUUUCCUCAAAAUCCAAAUAUGAAGUUGAUUCAAUAUUCCAUUAAAGAGAAUCAACCGCACUUUUAGUACCUUAUAUAAAUAUUAACGAGACAAAACUCAGGCUUGUGACUUACUAUCCACUGUAUGUAAACUUCUCAUGAACUGAUGUUUGUAAUUUAAUAAGGUAGUAUUAUUAUCUAUCAAGAUUGCCUCUAUAAUCCUUGAGUUAUAGAUCUCAUUUAUCAUGUAAUCAAUUGACAUACUCUAACUCUAAGAAGUAUAUGUAAUGCCCUAAACCCAAGAGUAAAAUCAUAAUUUAAAAUAAUAAAUAAUUUAAUAAGGGUAAAAAUGUCUUUUCUUAUUUAAAAUUCCUACGUAUAAAUUAAAUAUUUUUUAUAUUCUCUACUCAAAAAAUCCUUUUACAUGUAGAUAGAAAAUAUCAAAGAGCGUAGGGUUUGAAUAUCAAUUUUUCAGGUAAGAUUUUAAUUCUUAAAUUAAUAUUUUAUAUUUGUUAAUUAGUUUUAAACACUUUAGAUAUCUUUUUGGAAGAUCUCAAUCUAGAUUAUGGUUUGUUAAAUUAAUUUUUAGAUCAAAAGACUGAAAAUUUAUGAAUGUGGAUUAAUUUAUGAUGAAAAUAUGAAAAUUUAGAAAAUUUUAAUUGAAUAGAAAAAAAUGAAUAAAAAAUCAAUGGAAGAAAAAAAAUUUUAAAAUUUUAAAAUAAAUAAAUAAAUUGUUUGUGGAGGCUUUAGAUUGGAAAAAAAGAAAAGAAAAGAAAAUGUGUAGAUAUAUUUACCAUGUGAAAAAAAUAAUAAAAUAAAUAAAUAAAUAUAAUGGGAGGCGUGUAGGUGGUUUUGUAGAAUGUUGUGGGAUUAAAAAAAUAAAAUAAAAUGAAAUUGGAGGACACCUGUGUUGCCAAAGUGUUGAGUUCACUAUAAGAAAAAAGGGUAAUAAUGACGCUUUUUAGGCGUCAAUAAAUGUAUACGAUGACGCUUCUCGAAAGCGUCCUUUUCGCCUCUGUCAAGGAAUGGGUGCAGGCAACCAUGUCGCUUCUAGACAGCGUCAUUGUUGAUUGGUUUAUAUUAACACGUUAAAAAACGUCAUUAUUGAUCUACCUAUGUUAACACUUACACUAGCGCCAAGGAAUGGCCAAAAUAUCAUUUGUCUAUUUCGACGCUAAAAAAAGUGUCAUCUUAUGUGGAUAAUAAUAUUGAAAAUCCCCUUGUUGAAAUGAUAUAUUUUGUAUGUCCUGUUAUAUAUAAUUUUGGCUGCAUGAUUAUUUAUAAAGUAUUAAACAAUAACUUCAAUAUUAAUAACUACAUCUUCCAAAAGAAAUUGAAUAAAUUUGGGAAUAAUAUAAUGAUAAAGAACUAAUGUCUACAUAGUUAAUUAAUACGCAAAUUUGUAAAUGUAUCAAAAUAUUUACAAGCAUAUUUUCCAACUUCAACAUAUAUAAAACAAGUACACAUGUACCAAAAAGCAAGGUCUCCAAAUUCCUUAUCAAAAAUAAUAUUACAAGAAGAAGAAGAAGAAGCCAAAAGUAUUUAUAGCCAAAAGUAUUUUUGUUUGGUAGCAUAUCCACUCCUGAACUUGAAAUCUUUUACCUGUAUACAUUUAAAAAAAAAAUAAUAGAAGAAACAAAUUAUGUUUAGUUAAUAUACAUGCAAUGAAAGUUAAAUCUAAAUCUAUAAAUGGUCCAUGAAAGAAGUGCAAAUGAGAAUAACUUGGUAUUUAAUGAGAUGUUAUGCUUCAAUGAAGAUGAAAAAUUGUUUAAUUUGAUACUUGUUUAUAAAAUAUUAAAAUACUUUUUUAGUUCAUUAUUAAGUUAGAGGAAACAAGUUAGGCUUUCAAUGGUAUAAAUUCUACAAUAUGGAAUGUAAUAUAAUAUUUUCUUAUCUAUGUCUAACAUAUCAAACUCAUUUCUCAGAAAUAAAUAUAUGAAUAUACCAAUAGGUAUGGUUUAUAAUUAGUUUCAAUCAUAAAUCAUCAUAUCUAGUAAUAUAAGACAUUUAAUAUUAACCAUUUGCAAAUGCCUUAAUUUCUUCUUACAACUUUCCUAUAUUACCAAAUUUAGUUAACUAAUAACAUUCCAUAAGGAAAAAAAGAGUAUUAAACUAAAAAUUAAAAGAGCAUAACCAAGGCAAUAGAAACCUACAAAUCAUUGGUUAAAUGUCAUAAUAACAACCAUUCUAAAACUUGCCUUUAUUUUCAAUUCCAAAAUUAUAACCCAAAUAUAAUAAUUAACCCUACACAAAAAAAAGCUCUCUACCAUCCCUCCAUCCAACAACAACCUGUUGAUGCAACAACAAUAACUUCUCCAUACAACAAUAACAAUUUCUCCAUGUAACAACAACAACAACAACAAUAACAAUAACAAUAACAAUAACAUUGAUGAUCAAUGGUGAUAAUUAUAUUAGUAAUAAUUUGAUUUGUUUAGUCCAAACAUAUAACAAUAACAACUUCUCUAUGCAACAACAACAAUAAUAAUGACAACAUUGAUGAUCAUGAUAUAAUAAUUUGAUUUAUUGAGUUCACAAAUUAUAUGCUUCUUCUCCAUACAACAAUAACAAAAAUAACUUCUCCAUGUAACAACAUUGGUGAUGAUGUAAUAAUUUGAUUUGUUAUAUUGAAAUAGUUUAUGUAUAAAACUAUUAUAUUCUAUCACUAUGGAGGAAAAAAUUACUUAUCAUGAGAUGAGAACUUAUGAGAAUCGUCAAAAUGUGAUCUACAACUCUUACUGGACUGAAAUGAGGGCAUCUGCAUACAUAAGAUGGUAAAUUAAAAAAAUUAGUCCAUUCAAGACUUCAUUAAUAAUGAAAAUCAAGCAUUUUAGAUGUUAAUUUAUACCUUCAGGCAUGGGUAAGAAUCAAUUGAGUUGCCAACAUAACCCACUCAGAUCGUACUUCAUUAAGCUCAACUUCACUAUACGAUUUUUUCCCUUUAAACUAAUAAUUAAUUGUACAUACAUGAUGAUUAGUUAAGUUAACAAAAAAUUACUAAAGUAUAGAAACUAAUAAAAUUUAUUAAUGAGUAUAUACAUUUGUGGAUAGGAGGCUUGGAUCAACAAUUAUAUCUUUCAUGUAUCUCAUCACAUAAUAACCACACUCCACACUUCCUAGUUGUCCUGGGCACUAUAGGCACACAUAUGAAUUAUNNNNNNNNNNNNNNNNNNNNNNNNNNNNNNNNNNNNNNNNNNNNNNNNNNNNNNNNNNNNNNNNNNNNNNNNNNNNNNNNNNNNNNNNNNNNNNNNNNNNUAUCUUACUCUAACCAAAUUAACUUACCACUACUUUUACCCAUGUCGGCUCCCUCUUUGAUGAUCUUUGUUUCUCUGGUGGAUGAAUUCGUAGUGCCCUACAUGGAAAAGAAAAUUAACAUUUUAGAUACUAUGCACUAUAUUCAAGUAUGGAAAUGAAGACACUUACAUGUUAACAAUUUCCUUAAGAUCAUCACAUGGUUGCUUUUGCAUCGGAUCAAGGUAGUACGCAGUCAUUGUCCUCAUAUCCAAUGCCACCAAGACCCAGUGGAAACUAUAAUAGUACAUUAGAUAUUAUUUAGUAAUUAGCAUUGAUUAAGCUAUUUAACAUUAAAAAAAAACUUAAUAUUUUUCAUAACUUACUCAGGGUUAUAUGGAAUAAAAAUGUAGUCAGCACGCUUUGCAUGCAUUAAACGAUUUGCAAUCAACCUUGACCUAUUUUCCUUUGUUGUCUCACCCAUUCCAGCUUUAGAGACUAAAGCUGGAUUGAUAAAAGCAAAUCGUUCGGUGAGCCUUGCAUUACUUAGCUUUUUCUGUAGGUGCCUGUUUAAAUUCCACAUACCUUGAUAAGAAAUGACCAUUUUACUUUUAUAUAUAUAUAAAUUAACACACAUUAGCAAGUUAUAAAAUUAUUUACCAUAUAUAAUAUAUGACACAAUUAGCCGACACUUUCUUAAAUGAAAUUAUCAUAUCCAUGUCUUCUUUCAUAAGGAAGGUCUUAAAACUCUCGCCAAAUACAUCAUUUGGGACCUCCACACCUUGUGCUUUCCCCUCAUUUAGCAUGAGACCUACUAAUGCAUCAAAAUUGUUGAUAUCUUGAGGGUUUUCACCAAUUUUCAAGUCAUUUUCUGUUGUUUUUUGUCUUUUCCCUUUGUGAGAUCCCUAUAAAAGAAAGCACCAUGUUUUCAAAUGAUAUACAUAUCUUUAUAAACUAUUUCAAAUGAAAAUAACACACCUUAAUGAAUUUAGUACUCAAAUUGACUAAAUGGGUUGGCCAUAAAACUUGGUAGCCCACUACCGCUCCAAUUGUUGUAGCUUGUCCAGGAAUGGGAAUAGGAAGUGGUGUAUUUGACUUAUAGGGAGCAUCCAAAACAACUAGGUAGUUGGGCCCACAAUCCAUUACAAUUAUUCCACCAGCCACUGUAUUUUCUCUGGUCCCUACUGCUAACUCACAUUUUCUUGCCUUCAAAAGUAAAUUAAAUUGUUAAUUUCAAUAUAAAAAAGAAUCAAUAAAUGAAGUUUAAAGUGCAUUGACUAUGUUAGGGCUAUAUUUAAGACAUAAAGUUACAUAUUUUAUAAGUAAUAGUUGUAGUGGAAUAGAAUAUUACUAGUAGUAAUUAUGCUGUAAUAGAAUCUACCUAAAAUGUAAGUAUCAAUCUAACAAAAAUAAAAGCAAUUGGAAGAAAUUAUUUAUGAAAAUUAUCUAGGAAUUUGUGACAAUUACGUCAUUGAACUAGGAAAUGUAAACUAAAAAUAACACACCUUCAUGUGUGGUUCUAUUUUCACAGGUAAGGUCUCCUCUUCAACUUUACGAAUUGGUUUCUCCACUACUUCUGGUAGAAGCAACAGUUUUGAUUUCAUGUUGGAACUACUCACAUCGGAUUGUGGUGUAGCAACUCCUAUCUGAGAUAGUCUCGCUAACACAUCAGCCUCAAACUUAACUUGACGUUCUUGAGUUGCUUUUAAAAUAUCCCUCACAACACGUUCUGACAUACUAUUGAAAUAUCAUCCAGGCGUGUAGUGCUUCCCUUUAGCUCGAACCCAACCAGUAUACUCAGGAGUACCUAGUGCUUGAGAAAGUAUGUCAUUGCUCCCACUAUAGCUUAUGCCACUCUCUUGAGACUCUUUUAUCAAUUCAUCCUAAAACAAAAGGAAGUUAUGAAGUUAACUUUCAAAUAAGUAAAACCAAAUAAGGUGUUUAAAGAUGUGAUUUUUGGGUACAAAAUGUCUACUUACUAUUUUUUCCAUUACCGGUAGGACCACAUCAUCAUAGUUGCCAUCUUUUUUUUGCAUUGCCCUCUUCCAAAGUAAACUUCUAUCAAUGCUUUCUAUGGAGCCAGCUUCAAUCAUCUAAUAGAAAUGGAAAAUUAAAGAUAGUUAUUAGAUGACACAUGUGGUUUUAUUUCUAUUUUUUUGUCAGAAAAGAAACAAUUAAGAAACCCAUAUAAAAUAUUCCUUCAUUACUUAUACAAUCAUAUAAAAUUAAACCACAAUAAGAACUAACAAAAACUUACCAUCUCUUCUUCAAGUCCAGCAUACCCUUUUCUACUUAGAUGAUGAUUAUAUAUAUGCUUCUUUCUUCUCUGUUUUUGUACUUCCCUAUAUUCCUAAAAAUUAAAAUGGAUGCUUAGUAUAUAUAUGUGGAUGCAUGUAGUAUGUUUAAUGUUAAUUGUAUUUGUACCUGGAAUUUUUCAGACAACCUAGUUUUCACAAAAAUAUUCCAAUCUUCAUCAUCGAUAAAAUGAUAUUCAGCUGGUGGUUUCUUAAGAAGCUCUGGCUGAUCUUUGAAAGGAAGAAUAUGUUUCACAGUCAACGUGUUCUUAAAAGAUCGAAAACAUUUUCCCAAUGUAAGCAUACAAUUCCUUCUACUUUUCUUGUCUAAUGUAAAAGCAAUCUACAAAUUAUAAAGUCAUUAGUUUCUCAAAAUUUGAAAGAAAUAUAGAGAUUGUAGAAAACUUAUUUAUGUUAAAAAAAAAAGUAACCUCAAUAGAGUCCCACAACUUAUCCUUCAAUUGUUCAGGGACAUCUCGCCAUGUGUUAUAUCUGAUUGGUACCAUCGUACGUGCCAAUACACCUAAGUAGCUUGUUAGGUGCACAGAAGAUUCUCCUACAUAGAUACCAUCAACAUUGUACUUUAUGACCAACUUUAUCCCUCUAUUCCUAUUCCUUAUAAUCAUGGAUUUCCUUGUUGUCCCUCUAUAUUUUUUUUGUGAAGGGGUUUUCUCUUCCUUUGAAUCCAUGCCUAUAACACAUCAAUGAGAAAUGAUAAGUAUACCCAUUAAUUGCAAGUAAAAUUGAAUUUUUUAUAACAUGAACUCAUAUUAGUAACAUGAACAUACUAGGAACAUUUUACAUGCUAGAUAACAAUAUUCACAUGUUGUCAUGAAAUAUUUAAAAAUAAUAAUAAUAAAAACUUACUAGAAGAUCCUCACCAAACUUUUUUCUUAUGGAACUAGAAAUCAUAAGCUUUGAGCUGAGACAAAUUGAUAUCCUUGUAUUACCCUUUAGAUCACUCUGAGAUAUGUGUAUAAUAAUAAUCAUGAAAUAGGGAAUCAAUAAAUUUAGAGACAUGAUGAAUUUAAUCCACUUAGAAAAUAAAUAAGCUAUUUACUGAAAUGCAGAAUUUCAAUAUUAACAAGUUAAUGGGAUAGUUACAACCUUCAUAACAAAACAACAAGGUCAUAAAUUUAGUUACAUAGAAGAUUUGUUAUCAAUCCAGAAUCCCUCACAGUCUCCUCGAAUGCAAAUGACAUCAGAGUCAUCCAUUGUAUCAAAUGAUUCAACUUGUGCCAAGGUGGUAAUGAGAGGAUGGUGUUCAAUAGAAUUAUCCAUGAAGUCAUCAGAAUCCUUUGCUGAAAAUGAGAAGUCCCUUUCAGGAGUUGACAAAACAACUGACCAUCUUGGAUCAAGUUGGUUUUGUACAUAGAAUACUUGCUUGGCUUGGGAGGCUAAAAUAAAUGGAUCUGAUUUAUGAGCCAUCUUAGUGAAGUCAACUAAUGUCAGCCCAAACUCAUCAACUUUGAUGCCGCUCUUAUUAUCAACCCAAUUACAUUUGAAAACUGGAAUCCUAAACAUGGUAUAAUCAAGAUCCCAUAUCUCAGUAAUAAUACCAUAGAAACAUAGCUCACUAAAUACUGGAUUCUUAUCCUUGGCACUAGAAAUUUGCAUUGUUGUUGCUACAAUGCUAACUCCACUAUUCUGGGUAACUCGUAACUCAUCACGGUCUUUUGUGUUGUACUGACACCCAUUUAUAACAUAGCCAUGAUACUUGGCCACGUAGUGGGUAGGACCAUGUGCCAUCCAUCUUAAGGUUUCAGAUAUAGGUUCUUUGUCAGCAAUGACAACUUCUACCUGUUUGAAUGGACCAUAGUUAUUAAUAUUUUUUAUGAUAAGUGCUAAGAAUGGUGCAAUUUUUAGAAUAAAUUCAAUACCUUUUUUCGCAACCAAUGAGUGAAUGUUCGCAUGUGUUCUUCUUGUAGCCACUUUUGUCUCUUAGAUUGACGAGGAUUGUUCAAUUUCAACCAUUUCAUGUGUUCUCUAUAAGAUAUGUAUAAGAAAGUAACAAUAAGUUUCCAAAAUUAGUUUAAGUAAUCUACACAUAAAAUCAAAAUAGUUGACCCUUACUCGAUAUAAGGUUGGAUGAUAGUUGUAUUUUCCAACACAUAAUGAUGUGCUUGCAACAAAAAAUUACAAUCAACUUCGGUGAUAUGACCUCCAGGAAUAGGCGCCCCAACUUUAUGGUCAACAUUAGUGCUACUAGGAACUCCAAUUGCAUCCACAUUUGAUAAGUACUCUGUACAAAAUUCAAUAGCUUCCUCUGCAAUGUAGCAUUCAACAAUGCAACCUUCAGGGUGGUUACGGUUUCACACAUAACCCUUUAAUACUUUCAUGAACCUUUCAAAUGGGUACAUCCAUCUAAAAUAAACCGGUCCACAAAGUCUCACCUCUCUAACAAGAUGAACCGUUAAAUGAAUCAUGAUAUCAAAGAAGGAUGGCGGAAAGUACUUUUCAAGCAAGCGCAAUGUCACAACAAGUUCAUUUUGUAACUUAUCCAAUGUAGACACAUCAACCACCUUCUUACAUAAAGCAUUGAAAAAAAGGCUCAAUCUAGCAAUAGCAUGUCGUACAUGCUUUGGCAAAAGUGAUCGCAAUGCCACUGGUAACAAUUGUUGCAUCAGUGUAUGAUAAUCAUGAGACUUCAGGCCAUAAAGGUUCAAAUCUUCCAUUGACACAAGAUUUCUAAAGUUUGAGCAAUACCCUUCAGGAACCUUUAACUCAGCUAAAGUUUGACAAAAUACUUUCUUCUCCUUUCUAGACAAUGUAUAACAUGCAAGCGGAAGGUAAGUUCGAUUCGAUUCAAACCUUAGUGCCAGUUUACACCUUAAGCCCAUGUCCAUAAGGUCCAGACGAGAAUUGAGUCCAUCUUUUGUCUUCCCUGGGAUGUUAAGUAAUGUACCAAUGAUGCUUUCACAAAUAUUUUUCUCAAUGUGCAUUACAUCCAAAUUAUGACGAACAUGCAAAUAUCUCCAAUACUCAAGUUCAAAGAAUAUAGACUUUUUCUUCCAACAAUUGGUAUAAGUCACAUUGGAUUUUUCAUGUCUUCCCCUUUUUUUCCCCCAUGAAUUACAAAUGACAUUCAUUUUCAAUAGUAUUUCCUCUCCACUUAAUGGUUGUGGAGGUGAUCGAAACUCCUGCUCACCAUUGAAUGCCUUUCUAUGUUUUCUAAAAGGAUGAUUGCAUGGAAGAAAACGUCUGUGGCCUGUAAAUGAGUUCUUUCUCCCAUGCUUUAACCUAUGUGAAUAGGUUUCCGGUCCAUAUAUUGGACAAGCAAAAUAUCCUUUGACUAUGCAACCAGAUAAGUUUCCAUAUGCAGGAAAGUCAUUUAUUAUCCAUAAUAGAACAACCCUUAAUGUAAAGACCCCUCUUUGAUAUGCAUCAUAAGCUUCUACCCCUAUCUCCCACAAGGUUUUAAGGUCCUCAAUCAAUGGUGCUAAAUAGAUAUCUAUGUCAUUUCCAGGUUGUUGUGGACCCGAUAUUAACAAAGAUAACAUCAUAAAUUUUCUCUUCAUGUACAACCACGGUGGAAGGUUAUAAGUGAUCAUGACAACUAGCCAACAACUAUACCUGCUGCUCAAAGAACUAUGGGGAUUUAUGCCAUCUGCUGAAAUGACAAGUCUAAGGUUUCUAGGUUCUGCAGCAAAAUCAGGCCAUCUAUGGUCAAUUACCUUCCAUGACGGCGAGUCGGAUGGAUGACGCAUUUUUCCAUCAAAUUCUCCACCUUCUGCAUGCCAUAUGAGGUCUUUUGCAAUUUUUGAGGACCGAAACAUUCUUUUAAAUCGUGGGAUAGGUGGAAAAUACCACAUUACUUUAGCAGGAACUCCUUUACUCUUUUUGCUUCCUCUUCUAUUCACCUUCCACCUUGAAGCUCCACAUGUAGGACAUGAAGAUGCAUCUUUUAACUCAUUCCUAAAAAGUAUGCAAUCAUUGGGACAUGCAUGUAUUUUUUCAUAUUCCAUUUCCAAUGCAUUCAAUGUUUUUUUUGCUUCAUACAUAGACAAUGGCAACUCAUUGUUUACAGGCAACAUAUCACCAAGUAAGCUUAAUAGCUCGGAGAAGCUUUUAUCAGACCACCCAUAUCUUCUUUUCAGAUUGUAUAAUUUAACUAAAGUAGAUAAUUUGGUGAAGUUUUUGCAAUCGAGAUACAAAGGUUUUUCAGCAUCUUCAAGCAACCUUUCAAAUAAUUUUGGAUUAGCCUUACAAUCAUCUUAUGCAGCUUCAACCAUUUCUACUGUAUGAUCCACAUUACCAAUAUGAAUUCUAUCAAAACAUUCAACCCUUGUAGUUAGGGGUCCACUACUUAGAGCUGCCUCCCCAUGCCAAAACCAAGUAUGGUAACUUUGGUCAAUUCCAUAAAAGAAUAGGUGUUCUCUAAUCUUUUGAGGAGUAUUGAAGAUCAAAUUUCCACACUAUAGACAUGGGCAUUUGAUGGAGUUUUGAUUUGCAGAAUUUUGAACUGCAAAUGAAAUGAAAUUUUCAACCCCAUCCUCAUAGUCUUUUGAUCUUCUAUCUUUUGACAUCCAGGAACGAUUCAUUUGCCUAUAAUAGUUGAACACAAUUCCUAUAUAGCAAACAUAAGCAAACAAUGGAAAUGGAAAAGACUUAGAAAGUUACCUUUAGAAAACACUCAAAACUUUCAGUUUCUCAUUUGUGACAUCCAAAAUUUCUUUUAAACUUUCUAUGGACAAACAAUUAGGAUUCAAGUGCAAUAAAAAAUUUGAACCUCAUCCUUAAUAAAAAAAAUGAUUAACAAUAUGACAAUAGAACCUUUUGAUGCAUGUUUUUAUGCCUUUUAACAUGUCCAUCAUCCAAAAUCAGGUAGUUGUUCCUAUCCCAUGUAGGAAUACAUAAUCCCUAUGUGUUAAUUGCCAAUAUACUCAAUUUCAUUUUAAAGAAAUUUUGGCAGCAUUUCCCCAUAGUUCUCCAAGUACACAAAAUGAACAAGGUAUAAUAUGUGACCUUGUUCAAAUAUGCACCCAAAGAACAAGAGGAAAUACUACCAAAAUUUCUAAAAAGUGAAUUAAGCACAAGCAAUUAACUUCAUAGAUAUUAUGUUUUCCUACACUGUCCAAUCGGACAAUUCAAACAUCAUUGCAAAAAAAAUAUCUUUAUCACAUUCUAGACAAUUUAAAAGUUGUCAACUUGAAAGUGGCUUAGGUAAAACCUUUUUCACCUUUGACAACUUAAAUGUCUUUAGUAUGUAAUAAGAGAAACUUUUAUCUUACAAUGAUAGUUGAAUGGGAACUCUAAGGUUUCAUGCAUGCAUGUUUGAUUAAAAUUAAAACACAAUUACUUAUUGAAUAAUCUAAUAAUUAUAAAACACCUAAAGUUGUUCCAUAAUUAUUGCUAUAUUUCAUCAUUAAACAAGAUUAUUAUGAGAAAGCAUACGUAUGGCCCAUGAUUUGCGAAUCAAGUCACACCAGUCUAUGUCAUAGCCUUGGGUCAAAAUUUGGGCCUUGGUAUCAAACUAAGCUAGGGAAUAACUCGUACAAUUCAGGUACUCAAUAAGAUUUAAACAAAAUUUAAAAUAACGCUUCCAUUAUAUUCUUUUGACCACCCAAAGUAAAAAUGGUAUUAUGAUUAAAAUAUGUUGGUUUGUAUAAGGAAAAAUAGUGUACCUUCCUCACUCUGUCUUUGUCUCAAGUCUUGCAUCACACACCUCUCGUAGUCCAAUGUAGGUCACUGUCUCUUAAAAUAUGUAUAUGCAAAACAAAUAAUAAAUAAAGAUAUAAAAUAAAUCCAUUAGUAGAUAUUAACAAAUAAAUACAAAAUAAAUUAAAAUAAGAAAUAAACUAAGAAGAAAAAACAUAUAAGUAAGAAAAAAAAGAUUUUCACAUGUGCAACAAUGGUUAGAUAUUUUUAAAAAUUUAUAAAAUUAUUAAAAUCAAACUAUUUUAGUUAUUAUUUUUUUAAAAUGGUAAUUAAUACUCAUAUAAAAUAAAAUAUAUGCAUGAUGAGAAAGGUAAGAAGAUUAUUCCUUGUGCCCUUUUUCAUUUGAGAUUAUGACUUUUGGUGAUGACCUAAUGGUGGGUGAACCGUGAACCACACUAUCUGACCCGGGUCAAGUCCUUAGGGCAAGAAAGAUGACUGCAAGAUGGGUAGAACUUAAACGAAUGAGAUAGAAAAGUCUGGUCUAAAUUAAGGUGGCUUAACAAUCCGUAAUCAUCUUGGUUAGGUUGUAUCAUAUUGUGAAAGAGAAGUUACAGGCUAGGUCUUCAGCAUCCAGCAAUUCCACCCUUUGAUUUUUCCAACAUGUUGCACCAUCUAAUAAUAAUACCUAUGAUCCUAUACCUUAGUUUUGAUUCCUUAUGUAUACAAAGUAUAUAUGGUUACACUACAUUAAAGUUAUUUUUUUUCUCUAAAAAGUAAUUAGUGUAAAUUUUAAAAGUAGGCUAAUAUUCAUUUUUUUUUUCACUUCUUAUUUUUUGUUUUGAAAAUAGAAAAUAGUAACAACUCUUAUACAAAAUAUUUUACUAUUUUUUGUUUUUAAAAUAGAAAGUUAGAAAUUGCAUUUUAAAAGCAAUAUUCUAUUUCAAUCCACACAAAUGAUACAAGUUUUGAAAUAUUCCAUUACCAUAUUUUGAGUAAUAUUUUUAAAGGGUUAAUUUAAUUCAUUUCCCCUCAAGAUUUGACUAAAUAUAAUGGCACCCGAUAAUAUGAAAUUUGAAGAAGUCCAUAUACUCUUCAAGUCUAUAAUUAGAAGUUCCUAGUAAGUUGUCACCCAUACUAAUGAAAUUUCUUGAGUCAACAUUAAUCUCGAACCUUUUUGCUACCUUCAUUACCUAUUUUGCCCCUUUACCACCUACUUAGUCCUCUUUACUUUGACCAUGUGUGUUUCUCUUACUUGCCCCUCUACUUUUAUGAAAGAAGCAUAUAGAAGAAGCCCAUUCAAGUUUUUAAUUUUUCUUUGUUUGGAUCAUUCCUUGAAACCUUCUAAAAUUUCCCUUGUACUUAGCCUCAACAUUACAGGUCCAAUAAAACUCUUAUAAAUAAAAUUAAAAGUGUAAUAAAUAUUAUAAAAUUAUUUUAUUAAAAAAAUUAAUAUAUAUAUAUAUAUUGUAAUUAUUAAAUUAUAUAAAAUCUUAUUCAAUAAUAAUAUUGUGAUAUUUAAUUAUAAUAUGUUUAAUUUUAAAAUAUAUUUAAUAUUAAAAUUAUGAUAUAUUUAAUUAAUAUAUUAGUGAUAUUAAAAACUUUUUACAAUUUAAUUAAAUAAAAAAAUUAUUUACAUAUAAAAUAAUUAUAAUUAAUUUGUUGUUUAAAGGAUUAUUUUAAUAUUUUGUGUAUAUAAAAACUUUUAAUAUAUAUAUAUAUAUAUAUAUAUAUAUAUAUAUAUAUAUAUAUAUAUAAUCAUAAGGGUUUUGAUUUCAACAAGGUAUAUUUUAUUAAGUAAAGAAAGAAGGGCAGCUUCCUUGAACUUUCAAUCCCAACUUGCAGAUUUUACACCUUCGGCAUCACAGGUAUAUUGAGGAGGACAAGGAAAAGUGCCAUCAACGUAUCCUAAGAGGUCGUUGCUAAUUAAAACAGGGAGGAAUUUAUCUUUCCAGAGAAGAUAGUUGGUGGAAUCAAGUUUGAUUGGUAAUAUUCGGUGCAGCAAGUAGAGUGGAAGAAGGCAGUGAAUUCGAAAUAAAAACUGAUAAGAAUGUGACAAAGAAGAAGGAAGAACAAAAGGAUAUGAUGGUGUAGAAAAAUAAGAAGAAGAAAAGAAUAGGGUGAAGGAAUUUAUUUGAGGAGAAUAGGAGAUGACAAAGUUGAUACCUGAGUCAAGAAGGGAGGAAGAGCAGUGGUGGAGAUGACAGAUGGAGGUCCGGCAAGAGUGCUAGGAGGCAAGGACUUAAAAACCUGGGUCAACGACGAUGCCGCUAAGGACGAAACUUGGCUGGGAAUAUCAAUAUGUGCAGCAGACAACAGAAUAGAUGAUGUUUCAAUGGAUGAGGAAAUUUCAGCAGUGGAAGAUGGUGUCGCAGCCAUGGCAGAGGAGAUUAAGAGAGGAUGCAGCAGGAAAGAAAUUGCUAGAACAAUGACAGCGGCAGGUUUAGAAUCCUUUCAACACACCAAAUUUAGAGUCAGACUUGACAGCCUUUCAAAGACGCGGAGGCAUAGAAUAUUCUUGAUUAAAAUAUGUGAGAUCAUAAGCACCAAGGAAAUCAACGACCCCACCACAGCUAUUGCCACUCUCCGCCUCUUCUUCCACGACUGCAUGGUCGAAGGCUACGACACCUCAGUCCUCAUCUUCUCCAACUCCUUCAACACCGCCCAGCACGACGCCGACAUCAACCUCUCCCUCCCAGGCAAUACUGUAUCAAUACAUCCAGAUUGUACGAGUCUUGCCUCUCUAGUCAUCAGUCAUCAUUCAUGACUUUGUAGGAGGGAUGAGGUAGACCAAACAAAGCCUUCGGAUGGGCUCAAAUCUAGCCACAUCCAAGUUCCAAAUUCCUAUCCCCUAAAGUAAAAUUUAAAUUAUUAUUAUUAUUUACAUUCUGUAGAAGUUUCUUCUUUAAAUGAAUUUUAUUUUUGAGAAAACUUGCUAUGGAAAGUCUGCAUCUUGAUUUCAACCGAGACAAACCCAUAUCUUUUGGACCUGGUGCCUCUCCCAAUCCUUGACUGCCCAACAACUAAAAUUCAAACCCAAGCCCACCAAAGAAAAUUUUAAAACACGUCAUGCCUUUGCCAGUUGUUCCCCUCUCAAUACCAUUUAAAAAUCCCCCAUUCUGUAGCUUUCUCAACUGCUGCAGUCGAACCUGUCUUCUCCUUGGUGUACGAACACGACACGUCCAUACCUACAGGCGGUAGAGGCUACACCUCCUUUCCCACGCCCUUGUGCUGGUGCGUGAGCCACCCACCACAUUACCCUCAAGCUCCAUCCCGAUCACCAUGCUGGCUACUACAUCUCCAUGGCAUUACACUAGGCAAAAACAAGGCGACACUUCCCACCACAACUAAAAGGAGAAGCUGAAAUUAUACCUAUUACAACUUGCAGCGUACCAUACAACAACAAGAACAAAAAAUGCACUGUAUUUAUUUGGGAUACCAUUACCCUGAUUUUCUCCUCCCAAAAUAAUUUCCCCAUCUAUGAAACAAUAAUAUUAGAUUUUUGGAACAAUGAAAACCCUUCCAUUUGUCUUCAUUUGUACUAAUCUAUUCAAGUUUGAGGAAAACAACAUUACUUGAGAAAGAGAUUUACCUGUAACUAUGAUGCUCUGUAGUAGAUUUUGACAAUGGUAACCUCCCAUGCAUGGAAGUUAGACAUGGCCAUUCCAACGGAUUAGGGCAUUUUAGUGGUGGACUUAGUGAGAGCUAUAGGGUUUCGGGGUUUCUUCAGUUCUGAAAUUGUGGAGGGAAUGUCUGGCGGGUACUUGUAGAAAGGGAAAAACAUUUAAUUAAUAUAUAUAUAUAUAUACUAUUAUUUAAUGUCACCUAAUAUAAGUGCCAUGAAAUAUCACAACUAUGACACUGCUAUAAAGUGUCAUGGAAUAACCAGUUAUUCUUAUAAGUGCCACAACAAGCAAUGAUACUUUAAAUAAGCGCCAUGAAAUAAAAAAGCUAAUAUAAAAAAUGACCCUUUUGAAAAAACGCCAUUGUAUAUCCAAAUAUAAUGAUACUUUAUGAAAGCGCCAAUGAUUAAAGCGUCAUAAUUUUCUAUUUUUGUAGUAGUGGUUAGACAUUGGAAAAUAUUGUAUAUAUAAAUAUAUUAUUAUAAUAAUAAAAAUGAGAAGAAACAUGAGGAUUACUAUUUUAGUCUUAGGACUUUUGUGUGUAAUGAAGAUAGGAGGGUAAUGAGUUGGUUAUGCAUUGAAUUUGAAAAUUAAUAAAAAUAAUAAUAUUUAGUUUUAAGCUAACAAAGGAAAUAUUAGCAAUAAUAACAGUUUAGUGCAAUAAAUACAAAAACAAUAUAUUUUUGAGAAAUGUAGUUUAAAAAUAAUAACAAUAAAUUAAUGGAAUUUGGAGGAUAAAUUUUGGAAAGAACCCAAUUUUUAGAAGAAUUUAAAAAAUCACAUGUUAAAUUAUUAUUGAUUAAGAAGUUAAAAAUAAUAGGUGACAUAAUAUAGAAAAUUUCAAUCCCAUCCUACUUAUUUAAAAUAAUUAUCAUCCUCGUGCUAGUAAAAGAGAAAAGAAAAAUAGAGUGGGGUGGGUAUAUGAAUUUACCAUAUUAGUCUCACCUCACCCUGAUUAAAGUCUUCUUUUCUAAAUUAAAUUUUAAAAAAUUUAAUUAAAUAAAUGUAUUUUAUAAAUAAUUAAAAUAUUAUAAUUUUUAUAACUUAUUUUAUUGCAAAGUAAUUAUUUUUAUUAUUUUAUAUGUAUUAAAAAUGGGGAAAUAAAAAAUUUAAAUUAAAUUAUUUUUUGAAAUUCAUUUUAUAUAUAAUUAGGGUGAGAUGGGAUGAGACAAGGCAAAAUCUGAAACUAUCCUGCAUUUAAAAAAAAAAAAAGAAAAUCUCAAACUUGCCUCACGUUUAAAAAGAAAAAAAAUCUCAAACUUGCUCAUAACUUAUUUAUUUUAAUUCCAAACCAAUAAGGUGGGACGAGGGCCUGUAGCCAUAGAAGACUUGUAGGGAUUUUACCCGAAAAAUCUCACUCUAUUGUUAUCGUACUCCUAUCCAAGUUGAUAGUCAACUUGUAUACCUUGUUUUUUUUUUUUUUCAAUAUUCAAAUAAAUCACAAUUUAAUUUUAAUGGUCUUUAAACUAAAAGUUCAAUUAAAUGAAUUUUUUCGUGUCAUUAGCUUUCACAACCUCGUAAGUGCUAAUAAUAUUCAAUUUCAAAUAAUCAUCAAAGUCUAUACAACCAUUUCUAAAUCAAAUGUUCUCAUAGUUUAUUUUCAACCAAUCAAAGUAUAAUUAAAUUACAUAUAUCCAAAUUCCCCAAAUAAAUACACAUCUAAUUUCCCCGUUGCUUGGUAGGAGGCCUUACACCCAACAGGGUUAACAAGUAAUAAUCAAAGACUAAAAAUACAUGAAAUAUUGUAAAAUUAUAAAGUGACAUGAGAAGAAAACAAGAAAGAGAAAUCAGAAUGUAGGAAGAGAAUAGAAUUUCAUUAGAGGUAUUUCCCUUUUAUAGGGAGUCACAAAGAGAUAUACAUCAAUAUGGAUGAUCAUCCACAAGUUCCCAUAAUCCGAUAAAUUCUCAUAUUUUAUAACACUCCCCUUUGGAUGAUCAUAAGAAUAUGCCUCAUUAAAACCUUACUAGGAAAAACCCCAUGGGAAAAAACUUUAGUGAAGGAAAAAUAGUACACUAUUCUUUUGGAUUACUAUAACUACCUCGUUAAAAACCUUGCCAGUAAAACCCAUUGGGACAAAACCUGGAUGAAGGAAAAAAAAGUGCAGUAUAUCCAUAUUAUCAUUCUCCCCCUCAUGUAAACAUGAUUAUGAUUUCUUCAACAUUUCAAAUGGUAGAUCUCUCAAUCUUCAUAUUCCAAAGUCAUACCUUAACUUUUUCAAUGUGGUCAAAGGUAACACCUUUGUGAAUAGAUAUGUUAGAUUAUUUCAUGUAUUCAAAUAAAAUAAAUUUUCCUUCACUAAGGUUUUUUCCCAUGGAGUUUUUCUUAGUAAGGUUUUAAUGAAGUAUAUUUUUAAGAUCAUCUAAGGGGGAGUGUUAUAAAAUAUGAGAAUUUAUCAGAUUAUGGGAACUUGUGGAUGAUAAUUCAUAUUGAUGUACAUCUUUUUACGAAUCCCUAUAAAAGGGAGAUACCUCUAAUGAAAUUCUAUUCUCUUCCUACAUUCUGAUUUUUUUUUCUUAUUUUCUUCUCCUUUCACUUUAUAAUUUUAUAACAUGUUAUCAGCACGACUAGUCUCUACAAAAGAAAUAGAAAUAUUUUUCUCUAUUCAGAAAAAUAACAAGAUAUUCUUUAUUCUUUCUCACAAAAAGGUAUGUGAUAAACUUAUAUCAUGAUUUUCUAUUUUAUUACCUUUGAUCUCUAUUUUCAUUUAUUUUAUUUGAAUAUAUAAAUAUAUAUAAUCUCAAUAACCGGAAGUUAUGGGGUAAAUUCAUAACCAGAAGUUAUAAAAAUUAUGUGCAAUUCCUAUAACCAGAAGUUAUGAGGAAAAAUUAGAAAAUUACAUAUACAUAACCAGAAGUUAUGUAUAUGAUCUCUAAUUAUUUAUUUUUAAUUAUACGGUAUAACUGAAUGUUAUACCAAACAAUAUUAUAUAGCUAGAAGGUAUAAAAUAAAUAAAUAAAUAAAUGUUCAUAGCCUGAUUAUUUUGUCAGAAUAAGAAAAUAUUUAAAUUUGUACAUAACUUAGGCCAUGAUUAUUUUGUCAGAACAAGAAAAUAUUUAAAUUUGUACAUAACUUAGGUCAUGAACUGUUUUUUAUAUAAAUUUAUAUAUAUCUUCAGGCUAUGAACUAUUUAUUGUGUAGAUUUGUGCAUAACUUCGGGCUAUGAACUUUCAUUAUGUAGAUUUGUACAUAACUUCAAGCUAUGAACAUUUAUGUAUUUAUUUACUUUAUAGCUUCUGGCUAUAAUAUUGUUUGGUAUGACAUCCAGUUAUACCGUAUAAUUAAAAAUAAAUAAUUAGAGAUUAUAUACAUAACUUCUGAUCAUGUAUUUGUAAUUCUGUAAUUUUUCUUCAUAACUUCUGGUUAUAGGAAUUGCACAUAUUUUUCAUAACUUCUGGUUAUAAAUUUACCCCAUAAUUUAUAAUUUACCCCAUAACUUCUGGUUAUAGAGAUUAUACAUAUUUAUGUAUUCAAAUAAAAUAAAUGAAAAUAGAGAUCAAAAGGUAAUAAAAUAGAAAAUCAUGAUAUAAGUUUAUCACAUACCUUUUUGUGAGAAAGAAGAGAGAAGAUCUUUCUAUUUUUUUGAAUAGAGAAAAAUCUUUCUAUUUCUUUUGUAGAGACUAGUUGUGUUGAUAACGUGUUGUAAACUUAUAAAGUGAAAGGAGAAGAAAAUAAGAAAGAGAAAUCAAAAUGUAGGAAGAGAAUAAAAUUUCAUUAGAGGUAUAGGGAGUCACAAAGAGAUAUACAUUGAUCAUUCACAAGUUUCCAUAAUCCGAUAAAUUCUCAUAUUUUAUAACAUGAAAAUAUUAAUAAGAUAUUUUAUUUUAUCCCGAAUAUGUAUAUAUAUAUAUAUAUAUAUCUUGGUAAUUAAUAAAAAAAUACAAAUGGACGUGAAUACACCCAAUCAUACGAUUCACUAUUCUUCUUGGGGUUUCACCUAAUGAUAUGUGUAUGUAAUCAAGUAUACUCUCCAUUUAGAUUUUUCUCGGGUCUAUUGUUAUGUCUUUUAUACUUGUGAUCACGCUCUUUUCUUAAUUUAUCCUCUUAUGUGACAUUUCUUUUUUGUCUCUCAUUUUUUUUUUUCCAUUUUACACCACCUUUCCUCAUUAUAUAUAUAUAUUCACACAAUUAUGAUGCAAAUAUAAUAUAUAAUAUGAAACUAUUAUUUUUAGAACAUAUUUUUAUCUUUUAAAUUGACUCCAAAAUUUAAAAAUUCAAUACACAUUUUUUUUUUAAUUCUCAUGAAUUAAUGAUCAUUUCAUUUUCCUCUAGCACUAUUUUAUCAACAUCAAUAAAAAUAUAAUUUAAAUAACACUCAUAUACCAAAUCACCCGUGGAUAUUACAAGUAUUAACAUAUUUAUUUCAUGGCAUAAUAUUUAUAACUUUUUUCUUAAAAAUAUAUUAAAUAAAUUUUUUUGGGAUACAUCGCCCUACCAAAAACUGCGAACCUAAUCGUUAUUUUUGAAAUUGAGCUUUGUAGCCAUAUUCCCCAAAUAAAAGGUGGUUUGUUUCAACGAAUUUCUGUUUUUAUUUUCAAAGAAAACAAAAGGUAGGUUUUAAAUAUGUUUAGACAAUGUUUUACCGGUUUUUGUUUUCUAGAAAUCUAAAUUCAGAAAAUGGAAAAAAAAAAAAUGAAAACAUCAAUUUGUUAUUUUCAAAAUUUUAUUAAGAAAGGUGAAAACAAUUUUAAAAAAUAUUCAAAACAAAGAAAAUAAAAAUAAAAAAGACCUUAUGGGAUUGAUCAUAAUAUAAAAAAAUAAAUACAAAUAUUGUAUAUAUAAAAAAUAUUAAUAUAAAUAAAACAUGAAAUAAUAAGUAAUGUAUAAAUAUUUGGUUUAUUUUUUGGAUUAGAGAUUAUUUAUAAGUUGAUAUAUUUUUUGAAUAUAAACUAAUUCAUUUUAAUUGAUUAGUCAGAAGAUUAUUAGAAUAUUUUAUUACAUUAUUUUAAAACAAAAAUAAUAUAGUAAAGAAAAUAAAAAAGAAUAAUGAACAAAUACAAGGAAAGCGUGACUUUAUAGUAUAUAUGUUAUAACACAUAACAUAAAAAAUAAUCAUAAUUAUAUAAAAUUUUAAUUAUAUUUAAUUUCACAAUUUUUAAUAAAAACUUAAAAUCAAAAUUUUUUUUUGCAAAUUUUAUUUUUUAAAAGCAGAUUUCAUUUUUCUUAAACAAAAUGUAUUUUUUAAGAAAAUAAAAAAUAGAAAGUGAAAAUUGUUUUGAAAAAAUAAAAAUUAGAAAAGCGUUUUUCAAAUUAAAUACAAUCAAUUAAUUUCUUUUCUUUUCUUUUUUGUGAAUGUAGAUACAUUAUUGAGUCAUUAAAUCUUGUGUUAAAGUGUAGUUUUUUUUUUUCAUUUAUUUUAUUUUCUUGUUUAUUAUUGACUUGCUUCCGGAUAACAUCGAGAGUUGCAAAUACAUCUUAUGAUUGAGUACAAAUAUUAGGUCUUGUCAUUUUCUCAAGUAGGAAAAGAUACGGGUGUUUCGAUGAAUUGAAUUAAUAGUGUUAGGACAUUUGCUUUGUUUUUUUGGUUGAUAAUUUUGUUUCUUUUCAUUAUGAUAUAUGAUUUUUUUAAAUAGUGACAUUUGUAGAUGAUGACUUACUCUUUACUGAAGAUUUGAGACUGUCGUUUAAUUAAUCGGAUGGUUAUAUGUAAAUUUGAAAAGAUUUAAGUAAAGACAAUUUUUUUAUAAGUUAGAGUUAGAUGGAAAGUUUUAAAAUUAAGUUAAAAUAUUUUAAUUAAUUUUUAAAAAGUUGAGAUUUUAAUUUUUUUUAAAAAUCGGAUGUUAUCAUUAGGAAAAUGUCAUAACUUAUCCUACCAUUUUUGAAAGCUUUAAAAGGUUUUUUUUUUAUAAAUAAUUAUGGCUUGUUGAAGGGACCUACAUCAUCUCAGAGAUUGAGAUGAAUUCAGUAGAGUACUCGAGGUAUUGUGUCCCGAGGAUGUAGGUGGAAAGUAAGUGCAAGGUAAAACCAAUUUUUAUUUUUAUUUUUUUUUGUUAAAAACUCUUAAGACGAUGAUGAUGUUAUACAUAUGCAUAUUCAAUAGAUUCUGCAUCAUGAGCUCAAGCUGCUAGAUGCUAUGAAUAGGUCAGGACUGUGGAUGACAUGUGUUUGACACGUGGAAAUGAAGAGUGAGGAUGAGCAUCCAAUUAUUUUUAUCUUUAAUUCCCAUGUUUGAAUAAUUUAAAUUAUGAUGGGAAUGAAUCAAAAAGUGAUUCAAAUGGAAAUAAAAUCUUACUUAUAAGUAGGAUUUCAAUUCUCUCCAACUAGAGGUAUUUUGAUUUCUUAAUGUAAGUUAUUUUUAAAAAUACUUUUUAAAAAUUUAAAAACUAAACAUUUAAUUUUUUUGAAUAUGUUGUUUUUGAAAAGAAAUUUUUAGUUUUAUUUUGUAAAAAAAAAUAUUUUAAAUUAAGAUAAUAUAAUGUAAACUAAAUUUAAUUCAUGUCUUAUUAAAAAAUAAAAAUAAAAAUAAAUUAAAAAAUAAAUAGUUUUUAAUAAAUAUGAAUAUUAAUAAAAUAAUAAAAUCAGAAAUGGUAUAUAUUUUUUAUAAAUAUUAUAAAUAUAUAGAUAUUAACAUUAAUUGAUUUAUUUUGUUAAAAAUAAAGAAUAGUUAUUCNCNAAUUAAUAAUUUCUAAUACUAUCUAUUUUAAAUUAAUAUAAAAAAAUAAAAUUUAAUUUUUUAAGGUAUAAAUGAGCCAAAUUUUUUAUUAUAUGCAUAUAUUUAUAACCCAAUUGUGAAGAUGACAUUCUAAAUUAUUUUAUUUAUCUAUAAUUAAUUAAUCAAUUUUUUAAAAUUCAAAUUAUUCUUAAAAUUACAAGAUUUAUUAAAGAAUUUAUAGUAUUAAUUAUGUCUAUUAUUUUUAUAGUCAUUAUAUAUAUAUUUUUGAGUUUUAAAUAAUUUUUGAAAUUAUAAAACUUAUUAAUAAAUUCAAUACAAAUUCGAUUUGAAAUUCAUAUUUUCUACUAAAAAAAUCGAAAGAAUAAUUCUCUAUUUUAUUUUAUUUUUAAAAAUUGUUUUUAAAAAAUAACAAUCAAAUAGUGAUAUAAAUUUUUUAAAAACAAUUUUUUUUUUUAAAUCAUGCACCCAAAUAAGUUUUUAUUAUUUAGAAAAAAAAAACAAAUUCCUAAGGAUUUUUUCAAAUGAAAAUAAAAAAUUACUUCAAACAACGUAGAAUGUGAGAUUUUUUUUAUAAAUAAAAAUAAAAAUAAAGAAUUAUUUUAAAUCAGAUAUACAAAUAUUAUUAAUAAUUCUUUUUUUUUUUUUCAUUUUCAUUCCUAUUUUUAUUUAACAUUGAAAUAUAAUCAAAUUAUCAUUCCAAUCUUAUAUUCUUAUAUGCAUGCAAACAUAAAAAUUAAAAUUACCAAAUUCAUUCCUAUCAAUAGGGAAUAGUAGUAAAACAAAAUAUUCAUUUCCAUUCCCAUUCUUCGUUAUGCGUACCAAACAUGUCCUUAUCUUACAUAGAAUCUGGCCAACAUUAUAGGGCAUGUGGGGAUCGGGCAGAUGUUAAUUUGUUGGCCUGAAAUUGGAAAUCAUCAUCUUUAUGUCACUAAGAAGUAACUUAAUGAACCUAGCUCAAAUCCAUGCUAUGUUCAGUACAAGACAGUGAUGGUGCUAAAGACGAUAACCUAAUACGUGGGUCCCUUUUGCCUAUCAGGAAAAACAUAACACAUGCGUGCUUCCUGCGACUUCUUUCAUGAAAACUUUUCAGUCUAUUAUCCUUCGCAGUGCCAUUGAGAAACAAGUAUCUCCACAAAUUGGUUCCUCUGAUUUAAUUUGUCCAUUACAGAUAAUGGCUGUUCAAGUUAGCCUAUUUGCCACGUCCCUGGGAUUUCUGUCUUAAUCAUAUAAGACAAUAUAUUGAAUGGGAAAGCGAAGCUACGUGAACUUCCCAACUACGUAUGCAGCCUCUUGCACUCACACUCACUCACACGAAAGUCUAUAAAUACCGAGUUCGUAUUGCCCUUGCAAUCCAUCCAGCAGAGAAACAUCUUUGAGAGUUUCCUUUAUCAGUAGAGUCUUUCACCUCCUUUGCUUUUGUGUAGGAAAGAUGGCUUACUCCAGGACUUUCCUUCUCCUUGGCCUUCUCUUUGCUGUUGUUCUCAUCCUGUCCUCUGAGGUUUCAGGUCGGGAGCUAGCUGAAACAGCCGAAACUCGUAAGUUAAAUUUCUUUCAACUACUUUUUCAGUAGAAAUAAUGGCAAGUUAUAUUAUAUGUUCAUAUACAUAGGGAUAAUUUUGUUUUCUUAAAUUAUGGCAGAAGUGAUCAGCGUGGAAGAUGAGAAGCACGAUGGGUAUGGACACGGACACGGGCACGGCCACGGCCACGGAAAAGGACAUGGGCAUGGGAAACCUGGUCAUGGUGGCGCCGGUGAGGAUGUGGAAGACGAGACUGAGGGGGCUCAGAAUUAGAGUAAUCAAUCCUUAAUUAUGUGGGCCACGCAUGAUUAGGGUGGGUUUUAUGUAAGAUUAUGAAAGCGUAUAUGUCAAUAAGGCAUGUGGGCUAAGGGGUACUCCCUUAGACCAGCAUUGCUGCAGUUGUUAAAUAUGUAGGUCGGGACUUGUAUCUUUUAUUUCUCUAUGUUUUUUAUGUGCUAAAUAAAGUAUGAUGAAUGUUGUCUGGGGGUCCUACCCUUUUUACGUUGCAUUAUUUACUUGGAAUUGCCCGGAAUUUGGAUUUGAAAGGGAUUUUUUUUUUUUUUUUUUACUAUGGUAGCAUGCCCUUCAAUUCUCAUCGAUGGCUUUUACAUUUGCACCAAUAUAAUAUUAGUAAUUUCAACUUUGAACAUCAGUACUGUUUAUUUAUUUCAUUUUUUAAGGAUUUUUUUUAUUUUUUUAUUUAAUUUAAAUCUCCUUGAUUCCACUCCAAUAAAUGGUGCAACUUCAUGACCAAUAUGAACCCACCCCUUUUCACCCUGUUCUUCCAAAUAUAAUGCUUGAAAGUGAGUACUCCCAUGGAAUAAAUUGGUUUCCAAAAUCUCCAUUUAUUGAAAAAAACCACACACCCGAAUUUUCAUUUGGAAACUACCUCUCUCAUGCACCUUUGAAUUCAAUAAUCUUCUAACGUACUUUAAAAUAAAUAUAGCUACUAUCAAUAUUUUUAAAAUCAGAUCCAUCAUUGAAUUGAAAAAGUUAUCGAUCCAUGAUUCACUAAUCGAAUCGAUGGUUGAACCGUAGUCAAACCAAUGAUGUUAUAAAUAUAUAAUUUAUAUUUAUAUAUAAUUAAAAAUAAUUAUAAAAAAUAAACAAAUGUAUAUAAUUAAAAAAUUUAACAAUAUUUUAUUUUUUAUAUGAAUUAAACUAAAAAAAUUCUAUACUUGCAUAUGUAAUAUUAAUAGAUUAAAUCAUGAUAUAUAUGCUAAUAUUUCUAAAUUUACUAUUAUAUGUAUGUAGUAUUUAUGAUUUAAUAUUAAGAAGAUAUAUAUAUCCUAAGAUGAAAUCAAAUUUUAUAUGUCAUUUUAUCAUUUAAAAAUUAUUAAGCUUAUUUUACUAUAUGAAUAUUUUUAUUUAUUUCAAAAUUUUAUUUAUUUAUUAAAAAAAUAAUAUGCAAAUAUAUUUAACAACUGACUUGGGUUAAAAACACAAUUAGGUAAGUGGUCGCUGGUUUCAUUUUAUAUGCCCAGCUCGAAUUUUAAGUGGCUGACGUAGGAGUCUUGGGAAUGAAACAGAGCUGCAAAAUGAUGAAGGUGGGUUGCAUGGACCCAAAUCUUGAGAUAAAGUUGGAAAAAUGAUGGGUUUAUAGAAAAGGAAAAGAUCGUUCAGUUCUCAAAAACCGGUCGGUCCACUGGUUUGGAUGGUGCAUCUGUCGGUUCAUGUGAUUUGAUCCCGAUCCAAUGCUUCUAACGGUUUAACCGUUUAAUCAGAUUGGAACCAUGAUUGAUCGACGAUCUAAUUGGUUAAAUCGACGGACACAAUCUGAUUUUCAAAACCAUGGUUAUUACGAUAAAAACAUAAACAUUCCUCGUUUUAUUGUAAUAUUUGUUAGUAGAUUAAGGUAUUUAAAUUAAGUUGAUAAUUUUGUUUCCUAAUCUUGAUUUAGAAUUCUAUGUAUUUUUUAUUUUUUAUUUUUAUGAUUUACACUUCUAUUAAGUAAGGUUAUAAGAUUCAGGAAUAAAAUCAAUUUCGAAAGAAUUUCAAAUGGAAAGUCUUUUUAAACUUAAAAUAUGAUAUCUUUUUAAAUAUUUCUAAAAUUUAAAUAUUAAUUGUAUUCUUUUUAGUAAAAUAUGAUUUCUAAAUCGAUUAAAAGUUUACUAGAAUAUAUAUAUAUAUAUAUGCCUACUAGAAGAGUUCUCUUCCAAGAAUUCAUGUACCUAAAUUUUAUCUUAAAUUUUAAGACUGUUUGUCUUUUUCUUGAGUUGGAAGACUUUGAAUACAUUUGACAAUAAUUUUUAAAAGUAUUUAUAGUGUUUCUAAUAUUUGAAAAAUAAAAAUUUUAAAGACCAAAAACACUUUUCCAAAUUAUUGCAAAAUGCAUUCUUUGUGGCACUCUCAAUUGAGGAUGUUCUUUUUUGGAUCGACUUGUUGACGUGAGGACUGAGGAGGGACGUAUACAUGCACUGUAUAAGACAUGGUUGGCUAAUUCCAAUUUCCAACUACGUUAUUAAAGUGAGUGAUUUUGGAACCUUAAAAUGAUACGACAGACAUAGUAUAGCAUUUUUUGUUAGAAGGAUCGAAAUCCAUACAUUCUAUGACUUGUGAAAUAUGUUGGAGAGGGCUACCUAUUAAUAUUACUGCUAAUAUAUAGUGUAUAUAUGGUCCCCACCAGUACUUCAAUUCUCUGAAAAAAUGAAAUCUAGCAAAACCACGUGAGGAAAAGCUUUCUCACUGUAGAACUUAUCCAAACUUUUUCUUUGUUGCUAUAUUUGGUUUUUAUCCUCCAUCAACAAGUUAUUAGCAAUCAACCAUUGGCUAAGUGGGAAAUUUACUAGGUUAAAAAAUCACUGCUACAAAAAAUACAUUCAAUGACGGUCAUUUCCUUGGCGCUGGUAAGAAACGUCAAGUUACGGGGAUUUUUGAUAAUUUAAAAUUAAUUUUUUAAAAUACAGUAUAAUAAAAACUAUUUUCAAAUCUAUGAUACUUUUUUGUCACUUUUAAAAGUGUAUUUUAAAAAGACACUUUACAUCAUUUUUAUAUAAAUGAUAUACGUUUAAAACAAUUGAAUUUACAUUGAAGGUGUCUCUGGAAGAGACAAGAGACACCUUCCAUAAUUUUUAUAUCAAUAACACAUGUUAAAAAUUUUGAAUUUACAUUAAAAGUGUCUCUUCAAGAGACACCUUUUAUAAUUUUACAAAAUCAAAUUUAUAUUAAAAGUGUCUUUUAAAUAGAUAUUUUCACAGUUUUCAUAUCAGUUGCAUAAUAAAAAAUUGAAUUUAUACUAAAAAUGUAUUCUUAAGAUAUAAUUUUUUACAAUUUUACAAAAUUAAAUUUAUAUUAAAAGUGUAUCUUGAAUAGACACCUUCAAUAAUUCUUGCAUCAGUCAUCUAUUGANNNNNNNNNNNNNNNNNNNNNNNNNNNNNNNNNNNNNNNNNNNNNNNNNNNNNNNNNNNNNNNNNNNNNNNNNNNNNNNNNNNNNNNNNNUUGCAUCAGUCAUCUAUUGAAAUAAUGAAUUUAUACUAAAAGUGCAUUUUAAAAAACACAUUCCAUAAUUUCAUAAAAUUAAAUUUAUAUUGAAAGAUUAUUCGUUCAAGAGACACUUUUAGUAUAAAUUUAAUUUUUUUGAUAGGUGAUUAAUAUAAAAAUUGUGGAAAUUAUUUCUUCAAAAGACACAUUUAGUAUAAAUUUAAUUUUGUGGAAUUGAAUAGAUUCCUUCAAUGUAAAUUCAAUUUUUUUCACUGUGUAACUGAUAUGAAAAUUAUCAAAGAUGUCUCUUCUAGAGACACCUUUAGUAUUAAUUUGAUUUUAUGGUAUUGUGGAAAUGAUAUUUCUUUAAUAUAAAUUCAAUUUUUUUUAACGUGUAUGACUAAUAAAAAAAUUAUGAAAAAAUAUCUUUUGAAGAAACACCUUUAACAUAUAUUUAAUUUUAUGGAAUUAUAAAGUAUGUCUCUUCAAGAGACACCUUUAGUGUAAUUCAUUUUUUUUGGGGAGAAUUAUGUUUUGGGGGUAGAUGGGCUCUCAAAUUAACAAAAGGUCCAUAUAACUCUUCAAAUUGAGCCCAAGACCCAAUGAAAGUAUGGAAAUUGAGUUGAAGGAUAUCAUUCUUCAGUAUUUACAAAAAUACCCUUUGUUGAUUUUGAAAAAAAAAUUAAUAUUUUUGAAAAAUACUUUUAUUUAAUUUAAUAUUUUUUAUUUUAUUUAAUAUUUAAAAAAAUACUUUUAUGUAAUUUAAUAUUUUUAAAAUACUUUUAUUUAAUUUAAUAAUUUUAAAAAAUAAAUUUAUUUAAUUUAAUAUUUUAAAAAAAUAUUUUAAAAAAAAUAUUUUAAAAAAAAUAUUUAAUUUAAUAUUUUUUUAAAUACUUUAAUUUAAUUUAAUAUUUUUGAAAAAAAAUUUAUUUAAUUUAAUAUUUUUAAAAACUACUUUUAUUUAAUUUAGUAUUUUUGAAAAAAAAAAUUAUUUAACUUAAUUUUAUAAAAUAUUUUAUAUGUGUUUUUAAAGGGUAUAUUUGUCCGUUACUAUUUCAUAUCCUUCAACUCAAUUUGAAGAGUUACAUGGACCCUUUAUUAAUUUGGGGCCCAUCUACCCCCAAAAGAUAAUUCUCCCUUUUUUUUUUUUUUAACAUUUAUGGUUGAUAUGAAAAAUAUAUAAGGUAUUUCUUUAAGAAACACAUUUCAAAGUGGGAAAAAAAUGCCGUAGAUUUGAAAUUAUUUUUCAAACUACCAUAGUUUAAGAAUUAUUUUUUAAAGUACCGUUUUUUAAGAAUUAUUUUUUAAAAUAGCUGUAUAAGUUAAAAAAAGCCCCAAGUUACUGCAGGAAACACAUUGAGGAGUCAUGGAUGGUGGAAGUAUAGCUUUGCUGCUCCUGGACUUUCUGGACAGUCCCUUUGGACUCACAAAAGAGUCUUCAGUCACUAAAGAGGACAGAAAAUUCAUAUUGUUCGAUUUGUGUCAAAAUCCACUCGUAGAAAGUGGUUGUUGCAUCGUUUUGGAUCGCCAUAUAGAUGGUUUUGAUUCUUGUCUAAUUUUCUAUGAUAGUAAUUUUUCUUAAGUUUUCUUAGUCUCAAAAAGUGUUUAUUUUAUUUUAUUUUUUUACAAAUUAUAAAUAAAGUUUGAAUGCCUUUGGAUGGUUUAUUUCUCAAUUUUUAUGCCAAAUUUUUUGGUACAUUUCUUAGGCAAUAUCAUAUGUUUAUAUAUCAUUAAUUUGUUCUCUUAAACAAAAUUUGUUGUCAUAAAUAGGAAGAUUACGAAUGUUUAUGUAAUUGCAUGUUAAUAUUAGAAGUUAUUAAUAUAUUUAGUUACUAUAUUAUAAUUAUAUAUUUAUUAUUUAAUUAUUAUACUACAAUUAUUUUCUUUCUUUUUAGAAAUAAUGAUAAAUUAGUCUUUAUUUUCUUUUAUUAGACUUAUUUAAAUUGUAAUUGUCUUAUAUUUAUUUUAAAGAGAAUUGAUAAUAAGAAAUACCAAAUUUUCUUUUCUUUUCUCUUUGAAUCUUUUUUAGAUUUUAACAUGGUAUUAAAGCCUAGUUUGACAGGAGGCCAUGAGUUCGAGCCACCUCUUCACAUCUUUAAUGAGACUUUUGAUUUGUAAUUUCAUGAAAAAGAGUUUAAUAUCAUACGUUGUUUUCGUAUCUGUUUGAUCGUGAGAUAUAAUAAUGGGUGUUUACAUAAUUCUUUUCGUGUUUGAUCCUAAUAUUUGAUUUUGUAUUCAUUUGUUCGAUAUAAUCCAAAUUCUAUUUGUUGGAUAUGAAUCCAAAAUUCUGUCUAUCUUUCUUUUUUCUAUGUUGUUGAAUAUGAAUUCAAAUUAUAUUUGUUUCUAUUUGUUAUAUAUGAAUUCAAAUUCUCUUUGGCUUUGUCUUUUGGAAAUGAAUCCAAAAUUUGUUAAUCUUUUUUUCUUUUAUUUCUCAUUUUUCUAUGGUUUUAUGUCUUCUUCUAUCUCUAUUUAUUGAUUUCUCAUUCCUUGAUAAGUUUUAUGUUGACUUCUAUUUUUCUUUCUUUGAUGGUUUAGUUUUGUGUCUUUUUUUUUUUCUUCCUUUUUUUUCCAUUAUAGUUUUAGUUUUGUCUUAUUGUACUUUUUCUUUGAACAUAUGCUUUUUCUAUUCCUAUCGAGUCUCAUGGUGUCUUUGUGUUUGAGCUUGUUCACAUUGGUCUUUUUUUGUGAAUGAUACAAAUAAUAUCCAUGCAAAUAUUGAUAUUUGACACUUCAAUUAAACGGUGCAAAGCUCGAUUGUUUGCUAAGAGAUUUUUUCAAUAGUAUGAUUGUAAAGUUGUUUACCAAGUCAUACUUAUUUUCACAUUUUUUUAUUUUCGAUUAAAAACUUUCAAUACUUUUCGUAGUUGCAUUUUGAGCUUGUGAGGCGUGUUAGACGUUAUUAAUUAAUAUAUUUAGUUACUAUUUAUAAUUAUAUAUUUAGUUACUAUAUUUAUUUAUUUAGUUAUUAUAUUAAAAUUAUUAUUAUUUUUUAAAAUAAGAGUAAAUUAGUCUUUAUUUUAUUUUAUUAGACCUAUUUAAAUUGUAAUAAUGUUAUAUCUAUUUUAAAGGGAAUUCAUAAUAAAAAAAUCUUAAAUUUUCUUUCAUUUCUCUUUUUUUUUUUUUCUUUUUUAAUAUUUUUUGAAUUUCAACAUGUAAAAGUCUUAAGCAAGCCAAGUUGUUCAAAUUGUAAUUAUCUUUAUUUCUUUGAUCAAUCACAUUCCUAAUAUCUAUAAAGACCAUGAAAUUAUUAUUUGAUGAGAUGGUUAGAGUGAUGAGAGAAAGUGAUCGGUUGUCAUAAAUUCAUGUGGUCUUAUCAACCCUACAGGAGACUAAUGUUGGUUAAUCAUUUUCAUUUGUCGUCUACGAUGAGUCUUUAAAUUCAAAUUCAUCUAUUAAUGUUGACAACUUCAUCACAUCCACCCACUCAUUACUUUGCAUAAUCCCAUCUCUCCUUUCGUUAUUUCAAAUAUUGCGUAGCACACUUUCUAUAUUUUUUUUUAAUAUAAUUUUUUAGAGUCUUUUAAUAAAUCUUUUCGUUUCUUUCAUAAUGCCUCAAUUUUUUUCAAAUCAAUUUCUUUGUUGUAGUCUUUAUUCAAUAGAUUCCAUAAAUUUUGAGAGUUGCCCUUGAAUUGAGUUAUUAUUUAUUGUUAUGAUUUUACUACAAAAUUUACAAUUUCUUAAUAUUUUGCACAUUUUUCUUGUGUCAUAACUUUGAUAUUCCGACCCUUAAUAGAAAUUUCUAAUCGUGACACCAUAUGUUGAGACGUACACAGUUGUGAUAAUAAUUUUUACUCAAAAAAUAUUUUAUUUUAUUGAACUUAUUAACCAAUCUAUAUUUAUAAUAAAUUAAUCAUAUUUAUGUUAUAAGUCUAAUUCAUAAUUAAAAUAAGACUUAUAAAUAACAUUAAAAAAAUUAAAUAAAUAAUAAACUUGAAAUUUUCCAAAUUCCUAAAAUUCUUUUGAUUUUACUUCAGGUGGAAUUAAUAUUUUCAAUAUGUUAAACUUAUUAAAAAAAUUCUAAAAUUAAAGUUAUAGUUAAGGAGGGUUUAAGCCUUGUUUGGGAUGACAUUUAGCUAUUGCUAAACUAAUUAAUAUUGUAUUAUUUUUAUGUUUAAAAAAAUAGUUAAAUAAAAAUUAGUUAAGAGUUUUAUCCAAGUUAGGUCAGUCCUUUAAAUGCUGGCUUUAGCUUUUGAAAAGCUCUCCCAAAUAGGACUUAAUAAUAAGUGUCAUUUUGGCAGGUUGCAUGUUGAGUGGUAUGAAGCCGCAAAGUAGGAAGAUGAUGGCGUUCACAUUUGAAUCAUAAGAGUAAAGAACAGAGAAUAAGUAGGUAAAUUAAUUAUAUUGUUCAUUUGAUCUUUUUAUUUAUUUAUUUAUUUUUAUAGAUAUAGAGUUAUGACAAAAAAGGACAAAAAAAAAGUGAUUUAAAUGAUACAUACUUAAUUAUAGGUAAUUUAUCUAUUGUUGGACCUUUAACCUAUGUUUGAUUCUCAAAAAAUUUGAGAGAAAAUGUAUGUAUAUGAAAGAAAAUAGAGAAGAAAAAUAGUAAAAAAAAAAUGAAGGAAAAUAAAAUAUAGAUUUAAAGUUAAUAAAUUAAUUUUAUUUACUACUUUAAAUUUAUUUAACUUAGUUUAACUCCUCAUUUAAAAGAUUAAAUAAUUUGAAAAUAUUUAAGUUUUUAGCUUAUUUUAAUUAUAUUUUAUUUUCUUUUAUGUUUUUUUAUAGUACAAUCAAAUAUAAGAAAAUAAUUUUUCUUAUUAUUUUUUUUUUCUUAGUAUUUUUUAGGAAUCAAAUAUAAACCUUAAGGAAUAAAGGGUACUUGGUGUAACCUUAAAAAUUUUAGUACUAAUAAUUCUAAAAAAACUUUUGGAUAACCAAAUAAUCUUUCAUGGAGUUCCAAACCUCGGGUUACAACAAUCAAUAUUGAAUAAAUUUGUAGUAACAUCAAAAGAAGUUAAUAAGAAAUUAACAUUAAUGUUUAAUUUUGAUAAUACCAAGAAAAUAAAAAUAAUAAAUGAGAAAGUAAUUAUAUGGUUUGAUAAUGUGUCGAUAUUAUGGUAGAGAGGAAAUCAAUUCAUUAUAUUUAAAGAAGUAAUUACAUUAUUAAAACUCUCAAAUCUACGUGAAUAAAUCUAUUUUUAUAACAAAAUCUCAUAUAUUUCUUAAAAUUAUGCAUAUGCAUGUUGCUCGUGGAGGAAUCUAUCCAAAUAAAUUAAGGUUGGUGGAUACAAGACAAAUAUAAGUGACGUAAGACGGGACGUAAUCAAUCAUCCAAGUGAAACCACGUGUGUGAACUGUGAAGCACAAGAUUAUGGGUUACUCACCCCUUCAACUUCAUGUGGAGAAGAAUUAAUUUUGAAUUUUAUGCUCCAGCCCAUGGCCUGAAACCUAUUGGUCUCACUGUCAAUGCUGUCCUUUUUCGAAUUUGAUGACGCGAGGAGGGACGUAUGCGAUGUACGGGACAUGGUUAUAUUAUUAUACCUUAAUUAUGUUCAUUUGUACAUUUACAUAUACAAACUUUUUCUUUUUUCUUUUCUUCUCUUAAUUAUUUAUUUAUUUUUUAGUUUUUAUCUUUUACCUUUUUUCAGUUUUUUAUUUUUUUAUUUUUUUUAUACAAUUAGUAUACCCUACAGACUUCCAAAUCAAGAAAUUAAAAUUAAUUUUGAGAAUUAUUUUCAUGAAUAAAAUCAUAUUUAGAAACUUAAAUAUAACACUAUAUACUUAUUAUAUAUAAUACGAAGAUUCUCAACAUAAUCCUUGUAUUUUGAAUUAUUAAUUAAAACACUUUAUCAUAAAACACCUUAAUUUUACUGUAAAAAUAAUUAAUUUUUAGAGCAAAUUUAUAAAAAAAGAAAAAAGCUAGACAUGUUCUUAAAUUUUUAAGGAUAACUAAAGGCUGACCAAAUCCGGCAAAAGCACGUGAGAAAAAGCUUUCACAAGCAAAAUCAAUCUAAGGCGUUACCUUUAUUGCUAUUUUUCCUUUUUAUCCCAAUGUAGGCAGUGAAGUAGAAUUUUUCUGACUCUGGAUUCUUUGGGCAGUCCCAAGAUUUGGACUCAAAAGAGUCUUGGGUCAUGGGGAGAGGAGCCGAGCCUAAGGAUUCAUGUCAAGUUAAAUUAUUUGCAAAGCAGAAAGGUUAGACAUUGGAAGCAAAAGGGCGGUGAGCACAGCUAGAAAAAGUGCUUUAUCGACACAUGCUUUUGUUAAAGAGCAAUAUCAUAUCUUUCCACGAGUUUAGACACUUUCCUUCUCUUAAAUCAUAAUAUGUGGAUAUCACAAAUAUUACUUUACGUGUCACUGACUCAACCCCAGAAGUAUCCACCAAAGAUCUCUUUUUUAAUCAUAAGGCUUAAUUAAUAAUUUAGUAAAUUUAAUAAUCAUUUUUUUACAGAUAAUUCUUCAUGGGAAACUCAUGAAAUGACAUGUGAACUGUUUUGUGAAUUGGGUAUAGAUUGAUUAUCUAUAAUUAUAACCGAGGAAGCAUGGAAACCCAGAUUCAAACCGACAUGCCACGUCCCUCCAACUUCUUUAAUGGUACGUGUGGUCACUUUAUAUUGACUCUCAAGCACCAGGACAGACAGAGCCAAGUUGCAUUCACAUUACAAAUCAUUCAAUCAGAUCAGCAAAUGGGCAAUCAAUAUACCUCAAAGGUUCCUUUUUCUCCAUCUAUAAAUAGGGGUUACUCACACUUCACUCAUCCAUCCCUCCAGCAAACAAGCUUCUUUUGAGUCUCUCAUUGCUUCCCAGUUUUCAUUCCCCUAAAGUAAUGGCUUACUCCAAGACGUUUCUCCUUCUGGGUCUUCUAUUCGCUGUUGUCCUUAUCCUCUCCUCUGAGGUGUCGGCCAGAGAGCUAGCCGAGGCUGCACAUACCCGUGAGUUUCCCACUUUUUUUUACACACUUGUUAUAUCAAUUUACAGCUGAUGUACUGUGACUAAUUCAACUAAUCCAAUUUUUUUUUUUUGUUCUAAUGACAGAAGGGAGUGUGGAAGACGCUAAGUCCUGGGGACAUGGGCAUGGCCAUGGACAUGAACACGAGCAUGGCCACUGGGGACAUGAACAUGGGCACGGCCAUGGGCAUGGGCAUGGGCAUGGACACCACGGCCAUGGUGGUGCUGGUGAGACUGUGGAGAAUGAAACUGAAGCUGGCGAGAAUUAGAUAGCAUUUCUAGCUGCUGUAUUUUCACGCCCAUGGGUGGAAGUAGGUUGUGUGGUUUAUGUGAGUUUGUAUGUGAAUAAGGCAUGUGCUUGUCAGUGGUUGCCACCAAUGUUCCUCUAGGAAGAUGGUUGUGUUGCUUUGACAAGAUGUUAAAGCAUGUGUGAAACUUGCAGAUGUCAACUUAAUUAUUGUCCUGAAAUUAGAACUUUUUCCAAGUCCUUUGUCUCUAUAAGCAAAGUAAGCAAAAUAAGUAAGGUAAAAGCAGAAAGAUCAAACAGGAUUUCUCUGCAUAAUUAAGUAUCUCCAUUGAUCUUUUUUAAAUGAAGACUAAAUAUUUGUGGGUUCAGACCUCUUUACAGGUAUUUGUGGGUUCUUGAUUUCAUUGUUCCAUAUGCUCUUACUUCUCAUUGAAAAAAAGUUUUAAGUUAAAUUGAUAAUUAAAUAAUAAGUUUUAAGAUAAUAGAAUUUAAUUUAAAAUUAAUGAUCUUAAAUCAUUAAAUAUUAAGCAUGACCAUAUUAAUCCCACCAAACAAAGUAGUUGGCCAUAUAUGAUUUGCGUUUACCCAUAAUUGAAUAUUGAUUAAAUCAUGUUUAAUAUAGUGAAAUACGUAGAUAGAAAUGAACAAGUAUAGUGAUACAGCUUUGUUCUAAUAGACAUAACAAGGAAAUGAAUACAAAUAGUAUUUUCACCAUCAUAUUGUACAAAAUCAAAUACGUGGGAGAAUCCAUCCAAAGGAGCAACACAACAGAGUUAGCGAUAAGCUUGAAGAACACUUGUAAAGUUGGUGGACAUAAGGACAAAUAUAAGAUGACGUGAGAGGGGACAUCAUCAUUUUUGUAUCUGUCACGUGAGUAAAGUCGAGUCAUAAAGAAUGCUGCCCAAUAGAUGUAGGGCACCAGCCCAUAAACUGCAUGCAUAUGAAGUUGAAUGUUAAAGCUCAACCCCAGCACCUAUCAGCUAUGGGUCGGUCACUCAAUUUUUUGGGACUGGGUGAAGUGAGCAGGGACGUAUGCGAUGCAUAGGACAUGGUUGGAUAUUAAUUUGCAUGAAAUUUUUGAGCUCCAAGCCUGCAACUUGAUAUGGUAAUAUGUAAACACUGAAAAGGAAAUGUUAAACUAACAUAUGAUAAUUACCAAGCAAAAGAUUUGGACCGUUUAAGAGGAGACUAAAAAUAUGUAUGUGCAAUUCCCUGAUUGAUGAUAUCUUUAUAAUAGGUAUCGAAAAUGGUAACUACGUAGAUCCAAAGAAUUAGGAUUAGAGAUGGCAUUACGGCAACUUAGCUUUAUCCUUGCCCACUUCAUUUUGCAGUACUCUACAGAGAAGAACAAAUUAAGCUGGUCCUAUCCUACAUCGACAUGGUAUUCGGGCCACUACCCCAUGUAAUAGCAUAUUUUGUCCAGAUGGCAAAUUUUGAUGGCUUACAAGAAUUUGUGAAACUUCUUUUGUGGCUGCUAUUGCGGGAAAUUAAUCAAAUGGGAGCAUUGUGGGCUGUCUGAGUAUAGUUUUUCUACAUUUCCUUUUCUACACUUGUAUCCAAAAAUCACCUUCUCUGGUAUCCUUCUAUUUGAGGACUCCCGAGUACUUUUUCUUCUUUCCCAACACCUUAUCCCUUUCUCAACAUUAAAAGCCAUAGUCUGGAGUUCAUCAGGGUUGAAACCCUCCAAGUUUUGCAACCCCACAAAGAGGGGGAGCUUGCAAAUCACAAGACUAUUAUUUGUUAGAUUAAUUAAAGCUGAUGAAUUUUAACAUGUUUUGUGAUUUGGGUGUAGAUUAAUUAUAUGAAGGAGGCAUCAAAAGUAACAGGUUGAAACAAACCGACAAGCCACGUCUCUAGAAUUUCUUUAAUGGUAUGGUUAGACAAAAUCUUCACUCUGACACACCAAGAUGAGAACGUGUACCCAUUCACAAUAGGAAUCAUUCAAUCGCGUCAGAAAAUGGACAAUCAGUCUCUCUGAAGCUCUCCCUUUUUCCAUCUAUAAAUGCGGGUUACUCCCACUGCACUCACUCAUCCAUCCCUUGAGCAAACAAUCUUCUUGUGAGUUUUUUUCAGUCUUCGUUCCCCCAACAAAAUGGCAUACUCCAAGGUUUUUCUCCUUCUUGGCCUUCUGUGUUCUGUCGUUCUUGUCCUCUCCUCUGAGGUGUCAGCCAGAGAGCUAGCUGAGGCUGCUCAAACCCGUGAGUUCCCCACUCUUUUAGACACUUUGUAUGCAUCACUUGCUACUAUGCACAUUCUCUUGAGCUGCACAAUAGCACAUGCCAGUCAAUGGUGUUUUUGCUCUAACUGAUAGAUUAACAAAUAAGCAAAGUACCUUUCUAAUUAUAAUUAAACCAUGGAUAUAUCUUGGAGAAUUUCCUCACCACUCCUUAGCAGAAUCAAUACCGUGACUAACUAAUAACGCCCGGCCUUUUUUUACUCUUUCUAAUGGUAGAAGGGAGUGUGGAAGAAGCUAAACACUGGGGACAUGGACACGGGCAUGGACACUGGGGACAUGGACAUGGGCAUGGUCAUGGCCACAGGCAUGGACACCAUGGCAAACCCGGACAUGGUGGUGCUGCUGAGACAGAGGAAAAUGAAAGUGAAGCAGGCGAGAAUUAGGCAGAAGCACUUCUAGCUGCUGUAUGUGCACGCAUACACCGUGCAAAUAAGGUUGUGUAAUUUACGUAAGUUAGUGUGUCAAUAAGGCAUGUGUGAUCAGUGGUUGCCACUAGAGUCCCUAAGUAAGAUGGAUGCAUGGGUUUGCCAAAAAUAUUAAAGAAUCAUUAUGUUAGUUUAUUAGCCUGAAAUGAGAACUUUCUCAGGGCUCCUUUGCAUCUGUUUUUGGCUUUUAAUACCAAGAAAAAAGUUAAUGAAGCAGAAAGAAUAUGGAAAUUCAACUUAACCAAUUUGCCACGUCUCUAAAUUUUCUCCAUUUUCUUCCUUGACAUGACUCAAACAUAUGAGAGAAAACGUUGAUUAAUUCUCUUUCACAUGUAGCUAAGGACUUGGCGUAAUCUCAAUGGAAUAUUCCAAUUCACUAGAUACCUCUAAAAUUAACACUUCCGAAUCAAUCAUGUGAACCCACCGGACGGUCUCUUACUCUCCCAGUCAAUACAAAUCAUUUUAGCAGUCUUUUACCUUAUUUUAUGUUUUGAAAAUGGCUUUCUCUAAAGCUUCUCUUCCUCUUGGCCUUAUGAUUGGUGUUGUGUGUUCAUCAUCUCCUUUGGGUUUUCAGCUUGGGAGUUAGCUGAUGCAGCAGCCCAAACUUAAAGAAUCUCUAUGAAUUGUUUUUUUCAACAGGCUCAAUGAUAUCCUUUUAUAUAUAAUUUAACAUUUUAUUUUUAAAUCAUGAAACUCUGAAGGAUGCCAAUUAGUAUGGUGGAUAUGGACAUGGCUACCGGCACCAUGGCCAACCUGGUCAUGGUGGUGCUGGAGAGGAGAUGGCAGAUGAACCAGAAGGUCGCAGUUAGAUUGUUCAUCCUUAUUGGUACAGUACAACAACAUGGGGUGGAUGAUUCAGCAUAGCUGGGCUUUAUCUCUGUGUUUUCUCAUGUUGUUUCUAACCCUUUGUGCAAUAUAUUUGAGUGCAUAUCAGCGCAUGAUAUAUGCAAAAUAAUCAAAGUAAAUGUUGCUGCUUGUGAGCGUCUCUUGUCAAAGUAUAUAUAAGAAAAUAUAUACUUGAAUAGAGAUUAGUUAGUGAGAAUCAAGUUUGAAAAAGAAUUAUGAGGUUGUUUGAUGUGAGGACAAAUGAAAGAACAAUGACGUGAGAGGUGACGCAACCAUAAGCAUGAUAUAUACUAUAGGGCUUAGGAUGCAUCCCCAUGUAGAAAUGUAGGGCCCCAAGUCCCUGAGUUGCAUGUGAGGUUUAACUUAGAGCUCAAAGCCAAGAGCCAUCACGCUCACCCUUGGGUCACUCAGCGGUAUUCUCUUCAGGACUUCGUGACGUGAGGAGGGACGUAUGCAAUGUACAUGAUUGGUCGAAGAAUUUUGUUAUCCAAGAGAUCAUUCUGAAGAAUAUCUUUGAACCACGAUAUGACAUGCUAAUAUCAUUGAAGUUAAAUCAGCAACUUUCUAAAAAUAUUGGUAAAAAAAAAAAAAAAAGUUAAAAUGAUCAUAAAAUUUUCAAUUUAUUUCCAUAAAAAGAUCAUUUAAAAGCUUA
RNAcentral lists this long non-coding RNA (46130 nucleotides) under Vitis vinifera (wine grape). RNAcentral's name for it is "long non-coding RNA (VVIN_LNC006487)". The record is from RNAcentral. Lineage: Eukaryota; Viridiplantae; Streptophyta; Magnoliopsida; Vitales; Vitaceae.